This 87262-nucleotide long non-coding RNA is filed under the name Populus trichocarpa (black cottonwood). RNAcentral's name for it is "long non-coding RNA (PTRI_LNC003031)". Lineage: Eukaryota; Viridiplantae; Streptophyta; Magnoliopsida; Malpighiales; Salicaceae. The record is from RNAcentral.
UGCGAUAACGAAGUUUCUAGAAGAAAAGCACAAGAAAAAGCUGCCUGCUAAUUUCAGAAAACUUUUAUUAGUUCAACUCAAGAAACUUGUUGCUUCUCAGAAGCUUGUCAAAGUCAAGAACUCCUUCAAACUACCUUCGGCUCGGCCUGCUCCUGCUAAGAAACCACAAGCCACUAAGGCCAGCCUGCUCCUGCUAAGAAACCACAAGCCACUAAGGCCAAAACUGCCAAGUCGAAGCUGAAAAAGAUAACAACCACUGCCAAGCCGAAGCCGAGAAAGAUAGCGACCCCUGCCAAGCCAAAGCCGAAGCCAAAAGCCAAUGUUGCAGCCAAGCCGAAGGUGAAAACUCCUGUGAAAGCGAAGCCGGCUGCUAAGCCAAAGAAGGCGAUUGCAAAACCAGCUAAGGUAGCGAGGACAAAGAAGGUUGCAUCACCGGGGAAGAAGGCUGUAGCGGUGAAGCUCAAGAGUGUGAAGAGAAAAGCAGCGAAGAAGUGAAGAUUUUGAUAUAGUGUGUGUGUUUUUUAGGGCGUGUAGAUGGGGGGUAGUGAUUGUAAAUUUGAAAGAAAAGGGAGGGUGCUAAUGGUAGUUAGUUUUACAUUAAACAGGAAUGUUGCUUUUUCUAGGUUAUCUUUCAGCUUGACUAAUUAACUAUUAGUUUUUGUUUUUGUGCAAUUUUGGUGUGUAUUUUUUUCUGUUUUAUUUAUAAGAACUACGUCUUUCUAAAGGUGUUCUUCAAUGGCGUCUUGCAUAUCUUGCGCCCUGUUUAACGGCGUGCUAUAGCAAACAGCGAUCCGUUUUAUUCAGCUGCUUUCCGUGUUUAUGAAGCGCACGUUAAUGAUAACUGAUACGCAAAGGAAUGUAUUUUUUGAUUGCUUGGUCACUGAGAAAGGGAAAACGGAUGAUGGGUUUGGAUUUGUGAACUUGACUAGGUCAUAUAUUCUAGAAUGGGUUUUGUAAUCACUAUAAGAACCCCGGAGUAAAGGGGGGAGGGGUCUUCUGCGAUGGAUUUUUCCUCAGGCUUAGCACAACUGCUGCCGCUGCUAGAUGACGUGUGCAUUGCUAUCUGGGCUAAAAUCCUUGCGGUUACAGAGGAUGAUCAAUAUCAGAACAAACGAUGAACUGAUGAUAUCUUGGAACUAAAACCACUAUUAGAUUGUUAAACGCAGACAGGUACAGCUUCUGGUGUCUGCUGCCCCUGUCAUUACAAAUGAGAGAAUCAGCUGAUUGGGAAGAGAAUCAUCGACUUGAAGAGUUGCAGUUAUGUCCUCACUACAAUUGAUGAUAGAAUCAUGGAUGUCCUUGUCACUGUUGGAUUUGCUUAAUUGGCAUGCCUGAAGAAGGCUCGCUUUUGUUGCCGACUCCAGCCCUGAAAAUUGUCCAAACCAAGAGCAAAUUCCUCGGGACGAGCUCCACCACUUUGUAAAUAAUCUGCAUCACAAGCCCCGUUUAAGCAUUUACUAAUUAGUAACAUAUCCCAUCUAGAAACUCUCCAAGCUUUUCAAAUUUGAUUAUCCUAAAAUCACAACUUCACUGUGUGAACGCAUAUAAACAUGCGUUGUUUUUUAUCUUGGUGCAACCAGGACUAUGAACUGUGAAUUUCAGACGCGUGAUUUGGCAUUCCAAUAUCGUAUCGAGAUAUGCGUGUUUGGUGUGCAUGGGCAAACAAUAAGCAAAGGGGAUAAUUGUACUGUUGCUUGCGUGAUUAGCGAGAGCCAUGCCUCUUCAGGCUGCAGAUUCUAAAUUUGAACCCAGCAGCCAGUCACCACAUAUACCAGCCCUUCCCUGACAUGGAAUUCCUGGAGUGUUAGUUGGAGCGCUGCACCACAAAAGAAGAGAUUAGAGAGGAGAUCAACUAAACCGCCAUAAAAGGUACCAACAUUCCCUAGCUAUUCUGAAUUGAGCUCCAUUAGUGUCACAAAGUGAUAGAAAUUCAAACGGGAAGACCCAUCUGCUUUAGGAAUGCCAAAUUGAGCGAUUUGGCAAAUACACUACCAGUACCCUAGCUCUACAAAGAAAGUUAUAUUGCCAUAGACACUAGUAUAAAAGGGCCUUUGAGAGUUUGAAGUGAGUCUUUUGGCAGUCCAGGUGCAGAUUCAACACCCUCAAGCAUACCUGUCUACCCCUUUUCUACAGAACUUGAAUAAGAAGCACUGCUCAUUUGGUUAUCACAACAAUCCAUGGCUAUUCAUUCUAAAAGUUCUCACAAAAAAUAAAAAACAAACAAAAAAAUUUAAGUUUUUUUCCUUGUUUCAAUUCAUUUAGGAAACAAGAAUGUUACUUUCUUAACCUUUUACAAAGAUAUAAAUCCACCUUUCGUCCUUCCCUGCAGACAUUAACGGAGGGGUGUAUAUUGACACCAGGCAGAAACUAAUGCAACCGAAAUCGAAUCAGUGGAACAUUAAUAUUGGCAUAUUACCAGUUUGCAGCAGAUUCCAACAUUGUAUCAGUUCUACAUGUAGACUCUUGUUCCGUAUUUAACAAAGGUGAAUCCAAGAAAAACGAUGAAUAAUCUGGAUAGAACAAUUAGGUAAGAACUUCAUUCAAACAUCAAGAACCUGGCACCGUGUACAAUUUAAUAUAGAAGUUACGAAAGAAGUACAGGUUCUACUAGUUAAUGUUUCAAAAUGAGGAAAACAACUAACAACUGAUAAGAUCAGAACUAAUAACUUGAGUUUCCAAAUAACAUAGGCAGGAAAACCUCUUGGGUGACGAUAAAUCAGAUGAGAACAACAGAUUUGGUCCAUAUUAGAAUCAGUAACUCUUUCGAUAUAUAACAUGAUAUGUACUGAUAUAACUUACAAAACAUAUACAAUUCAGAGACACAAACCACUUGGAAAAAAAAACAAGAAGAAAAGGUCAUCGCAGCUGAAAAGAAGCAGGCUAUCUCCUCUCGAAGCAUCCAAUAUGAUAACUUAAGAAAUUCAAGAUGUUUUCCCACUUAAAGAGUUAGUAAGAACCAGCAGUUCAUGACUGAACAGAGAUGUCUGCAUUUGUCGGCUCAGCAGUCUUCUCGGGAACUGCUUCUGCUGUAACACGUUCCUGUUUAGAUCGGCCUGUGACUUUGCGAAUGCCAUUAGCAGUCUGCGAGCUGAUCUGAACCUUAGCUUUGGCAGUGCUGGUGGCAGUUGAAUCUUUGUGGUUACCGAUGCUGUGGCGAUGGCGAGCACAAUGUUUCCCCACUUCUUCCUGAGAUGUUUGAACUGCAUCACUGCAGCUUUUUCUCCUGUUUAAUUUUGGUGAUUGUGGUCGGGUCAAUGGUAACUGCAACCAAACAAAAUCAAGAAUUGAAUUGUAUUGUAAAAAAAGGGGGGGGCUGAAGGUAGAUUUAAAUCAAUGGCUGACUUAUGCAACUGUGAACCACAGCAUUUUAAAAUGACAAUUGUUUACUCUGGCAGUUCUAAACCAUGACGCGUGAGACACCAUAUCAUAAUGCUUUUAGACAUCAAACUCCCCCCCUUAACUAAAUACUAGUUACAUGCCACCUUCCCUCCCUUUAUACCAUCAAGACGGUCUAAACUCUAAAAAAACUGUAGCCUUGAACAAAAUCAAAACUCUGUACAGAGAAGAAUAGGUUUCUUGCUUGAAUGCCAUGGAUAAAGCAUUGGUUCAUGGAAAUAGGUCAGUUGCCUUCUGAAUGAACUAAUUAACACCAAAGCAUCUGGUAUCCUUUAUUUGUCCUGAUUUAUCUAUGGGAAGCAAUGCAUGGAUUUUUGCUAGUUUCAUUUACAUGUUCAAAUUCAAGGACUAGCAAAGAACUAAGAAUAAGAUCUGGCAGAAUACCUUCUUGCGUUCAACCUUGGGUGGAGGUGGCUCAUAGUAGAAAUUAGGUACCGGAUUUGCUUUAUACGCCAUGUUCUUUCUAAGCUGCCUGAUGGCUGCUUCUUGCUCUUCCUAAAAUGAAGGCAGAGAAGUUCAUUGGGUGACUACUUGAAAAGAACCAUCGCAAUACUUUGCUACAUGCACACAAACUGGCAUAAGAAAAGAGUCUACCUUGGUCCUUUCCUCAGCCUGGCUUCGCUCUUUUUCCAAAGCUCGGUGUUUUUCUUCCAAUUUUGAAUAAUACUAGACAACAAAAACAAAGAAAACAAGAUCAAUACAAAUCUAUCAAUUGCGAGAAGGUGUUAUGGAGAACGUUAUACAUAAUCAUUAUAUAAAAAAAAAAUACCUCCUUCCGCUUCGCUGCGCGUUCAGCAGAUCUAAAUGUGGGGGCUGUUCCAACAGUUACAGAUUUAACGGUUCGCACAGAAGCAGCAGUACUACACAUAGCUAAGGACUGCCAAUUGGUAAAAAAAUAUAUAACCAGAAUAUAGCUGGAUAUAAUUUAUAAAAAAGAAUUCAAGCAGUUUUAACUUCAAGGAUUAAAGCACAGUUUUAAAUACUAAAUGUUGCUCAAAUCGGACAGGAUACGAUGAAGCCACAGACCAACUAUCUUCUUCAUCAUGACGCUUUUUGUUAUCAGGUUGCAAUGGCUUCCUUGCUGUAGAAGGUGAAUUUUGCUGAAGGAAAUAGCAUAAUUCCAAAGAUCAGGGCAAUUGUCAAACAAAAAAAAAUGACAAAAAUAGUUUUCUAGUGUGCGUGCGUGCACGUGUGUUGGGAUGUGGUUGGUCAAAUAAUGCAUUCCAGAUGCCAAAAUGAAUUAAACUGCAUGGUUUAUGGUACCACUCAACUUGAAGGUACAACAAAGUGAAUCAUAUAACAAGAGUAUGAUAACAGCAUCCACCAAAUGCAAUGUUGAGAGUUUCAAUUACCUGUGAAUUCUUCAUAGUAGCAGGGGACUGAGCAUUGUUUGAAUUUGUGAAAGUGUUCCUGCCAACACGUUUGUCAGUUGCCAGAGCAAAUGGCUGAGGGACAGUUUGACGGACAUGAGCAUUUCCAACACCACCAGCUUUUAGUGAGGGAGAACUUGAAUUUCUAUCAUCACUUGAUUUUUGAGCUUCAGGUUUCUCAUCUUUCUCAUCAGACACGUCAGCAUCAAAAUUUGUGCUUUUGACACCUAGCACAUCUUGCUUCUCUGAUUCUUCAGCAGUUUCUUUCUCCACAUAUUCCUUUGCUUUGAUGACGCCUUCUGAAAGUUUAGGAGCAAAAUGUACUCUAUCAUGAGAUACACCAUUAAACUUGACAGCAAGACCAUUUGGCUUCUUCUCCAUGUCUGCACACUUAAGUUCCCGCCCCAUCAAACUGCACAAAAAAGAUAGUCUUAAUAUCUUGAUGCUUCACGAAGAAGACAUAUUUUGCUCAAGAAAAAUGUACCACUUCUUUAUAAUAAUACGAAAACAUUAAAUAAAGCAAGAACUAUUUGCAUGUGAUGCCGAAAGGUUUCAAAUUCUUUUAUUGCUUUGAAAUUGCCAAAUGUGUAAAACCCAACCAAGACACCUAAACACUUCUAUCCAUAUCAUAGUGCAGGAAAAAUAUCAUUGUUUAGACGGAAGAAAAGACGGCAUAUCUCAUUGCGAAAACAGUGCUUAUUUAAAGAGUCAAACAGAUAUGGUGAGAGGAAAAAAACAGCAGAAAGUUCGAGCUGGAAAGAGAAGAUCAGCACUAAUUUAUAACACAUCAAAAAAAUAAGUAGAAGAGGAUUGAGACAACCAGUUUAGAACAUGAUAUAAUGUGCAAACAUUCUAUAAUCCAAAAAAAUAUAUGAGAAAUAUAAUUCAAAGAUCCCAAAAAAUUAUGUGAAAAGUGAAAUUCCUUGGUAAAGCUAAAAAAACAUCAGCAAUCUUUAUGCAUUCCUAGUAUGUAUCAUUUAGUUGUCCUACUAGCUUCAUUUUUAGUAUCAGAUCCCAUGCCUUACAGUUCCAAAUGUUUCAUCAACCACCACAUCUACAUUAGGCUAACUUAUUGUAUAACUAAUAAAAAAAAUUAGUUGUCUUUAAAAAGUAAAUAACCUAUUCUUUUCACUGUGUUUCCAUCAAAAUUUUAGAAGGUGAUUAGACUGUAAGAAAAUUAAAGAUCAAACCACAACAAACAGAAGAGUAUUUUAUCCCGACAGAACCAACUCCACAGAUACUUUUGAGAAUCAAAAAACAAAAAUGAAAAGAGCAUGUGUAGAAACAAAAGAAAAAAGUCAAUUGAAGAGGAGGGAAACAAAAUACAGAAGGCGAAAAAAAAAAGAUUAUCAACAAUUUUCUUGGCUUAAAAAAGCAAAAGAAUUUCUCAAGCUAGCUUAAAAAUAAAUCUAAAUCACAAUAAAUAUGGAAAGACCUUUUUAAAAGAGAAAAAAAAUACCACCCAGAAUAAAAAUACCACCACCACCACCAACUUCAUUCGAUAAAAAAAGAAAUCAUCAAGAGCCCAAAAUCCCUACAAUCCUCCCAAACCAAAGAAACGCAUGAAAAUACCUCAUAUAAAUGAAAGAAAGAGAAUAAAAACAGCAACAAGAAGAACAACAAAAACACCAGCAAAAGACCCGUCUUUUUUACUAUCAAAACCAAAACAGAGAGAAUCUCAUAACUUCAAAACCCCCCAUAAAAAUGUGAAAGACAAAAAAUUGCUAAAAUCUCUCCAUUCUAAACAACCAAUAAAACCCCUUAAAAAUCCACUAAAAUUGAAAAAGACAUCAUUUUUCCAUCCCCAAAUAGCAGAAAUCCAAGAGCAAACCUUUUAUGAGAGAGAAAACAUAAAGAAACAAUGACCGAAAAGAUCAAAGAAACAACCUUUUUAGAUCAAGCUACAUUGUUUUUUUGUUUACAAAAACAAAAACAGAUACACAUGACACAAACCCGAAAUAAACAGCCAGAAUGUAAUAAGAUUUCUUACAACUCAGGUCCGAUCUGGGAAGAUCUUGAGCUCCCCCUCCUCUCUCUCUCUCCCUCUCCCUUCCUCUCUAAAAAUAUAAACAAAGCCAAAAUGUUUUCUGUGAUUUUGCUUUUUUAACAGCUAAGGAAGGUUUUUGUUGUGAUAGCUUUUUUUUAAUGUUGAAAUGUUGGAUUUUUAUACAUGUUACUUGACGGCUUGGUUACAUUUUCUGUGAUCUUAUUUGAAAAUGGAAAGAGAGAGAGAGAUAAACGGAUAAUGUGAUUUUUUUUUAUUACUAUUAAUGCGGUUGCACGUAUCUUGAUUAAUUCUAUGAAUCCUAAAAUUAACGAUUAUAUAAGCCUCCAGUGGUCCUGAGAUUUGUGAAACUCAAACUAUUGAUCUUUAAAGAACAAAUUUAGAACCUGACCAGUUAAGUUAGGAUUGGAUAAUGUGAUCUUAAUAUAUUUUCUCCGUGUUCUUAGUAAACGUAAACUUUAUAUAAAUGAAUUAUUAUACUACAAAUUAGGUCUUUAAAUAAUAUUUUUAUUAUUUAUAACUGAUAAAUGUAAUUGAUGUUAUUGUUGUUGUUGUUCAUGGAUAGAUUAUUUUAAAUUAUUAGUAAGGAUUAUUUUGUUAAAAUACUGUAUGUGCUUAAAAAAACCUUAUAGUACUGGUCAAAAUUUAAGAUGUUCUCAUAUAUAUAUAUAUAUAUAUAUAUAUAUAUAUAUAUAUAUAUAUAUAUAUAUAUAUAUAGUUGUAAUUAAUAUUAUUAAAAUUUUAUACAUGUUAUAAAAAAAACCAUUAAUUUUAUUGUGUGAAUAUAUAUAUACACCGUGCAAUUUAAACUCAUAUAAUUCUAACUUUAAAUAAAUAACUUAAUCGAUGGUAUUAUAUUUAAAAUUAUAUGUAUACGAUGUUUUUUUUUUCACGAGAAAUAGAAUGGAGAAUUCAAGUUCACGUGAACUAUUUCAAGCCUCCUAAUAAUAUUUUUCUUUAAAAAAAUAAAAAAAAAAAGAAUUGACAAAAUUUCAAUACUCGGGCCCUAAAUUGAAAAUGUCUUAAAUCAUGAGUAAAAUGAUGUGGUAUAAACGGCGUUAAAUGACGGUAGUAUUGAGCCGACGUGGUAGUGGCGACACCUGCGCCAAAAAGUCCAAAGACCGCAGUACGAAUCUUAUUCAAAGAUUUUCGAUGUCUUUUUUUUUUUUGUAUUUACUUUUUUCUUUUUUUAAUCUAUUUCCUCUGUUCAAACAUGUUACACUGACCUCAGACUUUUUUCAAGGGCUGUUUGUCGGAGAUUCUUCUCCAAGGAUAAUAAUUUGCCCGAUUUACCUUUUUACCCCUCUUCAUUUUGAGUCUCUUUUUUUUGUUUUUUUUUUUCGUUUUCUUUGACUAUUAUUAUAUUUCAUCAUGCCGAGUGGUACAAGAAGCUUAUUUCUUCUCUUGGUUUUUUUAAUCAAAUCUUGAGACAUUCUCCGAGGUUGUAAUGAUAUUUCAAAUUAGUUUUUGUAUAUUUAUGAAGUUAUUUCUUUAUCGAUGCAUUUAAAAUGAUUUUUUCAGGGCUUUUUUACAGAUUUUGUUUAAAUUGAACCCACAAUAACAUGCGAGAAAAAAACCCAAAUGAUAUUAUAUUAUUAAAAACAAUUUCCUUUUGUUUUUGUUUUAAAGUUGAACUCGUAUUUUUCAUGGCAGUGCAUGCACGUACUACAAUUACUCUUAAUUAACUAGAUGCCCUUAUUCAAGGGUGCAAGUCGUAUAGUUUAAUGCUGGUAAUUACGAUCAUGGAUUCUUCAUUCAGUGUUGGCGGCACCCGUCUAUCAAUGGAAGAAUACAUAGUUUUCAUGGCAGGUUGCUGGAUUCAAUUCGAGAAGGUUGGAGGGUGCCUUUGAAUGAAGAAGAUGGUGCCUUUGAAUGUCUCUUGGGGGGUGUUAAUUUCUGCUCUUGCUUGACCUAAUUCACACAACCCACUUUUUAACCUAAUUUGUACUCUUGUUUCAAAAGUAUAAUGCAGCCUGAAACUGGAAAGCAGAAACAUAAAAGGAUACGUCAAUAUAAUUUGUUAGAGCAUUUACAUUCAUACUCUUUAAUUUUUAGUUAGGUAUUAGCUAAAUUACCUAAAAUCAUACUUGACAAGCUCUCUAAAAAAAAACAUUAUCGCAUCCAUGCUAUUUUAACGGAUUGUAUUGUUAUUUUUUUUUAUGUAUAUAUCGGUUAUUUUACGUGUUAGUCUUCUUCAAUUUAUUAUUAUAUUGGUAUUUUUAUUUAGAGGUUAUUUGUUUUUACAAUACAGCCGCAUUUCUAAAAAAUCUUAAAUUUUUUUCUUUAAAUUAUUCUUUUUACGUGUUUAAUAAUAAGAUAAACACCACCUUAUAACGAGUACACUAUAAUUUUUAAGUUAGUUAUUGUAAUGUGAUGGGGUUUUUUUGUGACACUUCGAAUGUUGCAAAGCCAAAGAAAGGCUAUAAUUAAAAUUUUGUUUUUAAAUGCACUAAAUGGAGGAAUUUGUCUACUUAUGCUGCAAAGCCAAAGAAAGGCGAUUAAUUAGCAUUGCCAACUUUGAUGAAUCCCAUGGGGCGCUACAAAUAUUGAAUUAAAUGUAGUCUAUUCAAGUGGUUAAUUACUAUCUUUAAUUAAGAGAUGUAUCAUCUGGUGGUUAAUAAUAUUUAUUUCCUCCAUUCCAAUAUUAAUAGUAAUUUAUUCUCUUAAUUAAAUACUUCAUAUAUAUAUAUAUAUAUAGUCAACGUACGAACUUAGUCUAUGAAGAAAAUUUAAACUUCAUUGACGUAAAAACUUGCCUGAAGAUAAAUUUGACGGUCGAACUAAACAAAGCUGAAACAUUUAACUAGUCCAUCUAUAUAUCUAGCAUUGAAUUUCUCAAAAUUUAAUUAUUCUUCCAUUGAUAUUAAAUGGCAUUGAAGCAUGGCGGUAGCUCUGCUGGCAAUAAUUAAACGGUAAAAAGACAAUUAAAAAGAGAGAAUAUAUAUAGUUUGGAUCUUAUUAUUUGUAUUUUCCGACCCAUUUAUAAGUAUAUUAUCAAUUAAAAAUCAUGAAUCGAUGGGCUCUCUCUUGAGAGUUAUCAUUUGCGUUGUUGAUAAUAUUAAAAAAAAAGAGGCAUAGAACACAAAAUCCACUAUCAAUGUUAGGUCAAACUAUUUUUUUUCAAUUUUGAUAAAAUGCAGGUCAAACUAAGUCGGUCAAGUACUCUCAUGGGAUUUCAAAAAGAAUCUCUGUGAAUUGUCUCAUAGAUUCUAAGAAGACACAUCUCCUGAUCUUUCUGCCUGGCUGCUGGUAAAAGAGAGAAAAUAAAGCCUUCUCUCCUUCCUCAAAGUAAUAAAAUGCAUGCAGCUCGCGCAGAGUUUCGAGCACCAAAUUAAUACGUAGCUCACGUCUCGCCUUCAAGAGAAGAAGAAAAACAUAUAAAUUAACUUGAAGGCGUAUAAUUAAGUUUUAAAUUUAUUUUUUAGAGAUUAUCAGUUCGAGUCUUAUAAAUUUUAAGAUCACUAAAGGCUUACAUGGUCGUUAAUUUCAGAACUUGUGAAAUUAAUCGAGGCGAAUGCAAGUUGAUCCAAGAACCCAUAUAAAAAAAAACCCAUGAAUUAACAUAUUUUUCUAGCUAGCUUGGCAAUUUAUAGAUAUCACGUAUAUUAACUUUGGCUGGCAUAGGAAUCGUGACAGUAUUUACAUUUCUGUCGUACUAUAACAUAUAAAGAUAGGGCUGGCUUCUAUGCACAUGAGCUUCACGUGUAACAGUGUCGUGGCCUCGUAAAGAUGCCUGGACGCAUCCAGCACUCGAUCUGGUAAAAAAAACACUGUAAUUUUAUAUUUGAUUAUUAAAUCAGGCUUAAGAUUUGUCCGUUGAUUCUACGAACAUGGAUAUAUAAAAAAGUCACUUAUUGGCAACAAUAAGACAAGGUCCGGAAGACCCUUUAAUUGAUCAUAAAAGAUGUUGUUUAUUUUCUGUUUUAAUUAUUUUUCCUUUUUAAAUCUGGAUUUAAAAUAUUUAGACCUCAAACCAACACCAUCAAUAAUCUUAACUACCAACAUGCACCCCAGGGUAAAAUAGCGACUUGAAAUAAAUUCAGAAUGGUGUUGUAUAUUAAAAAAAAAACAAAAUUAUAAAAAUAAUUUAAAAUAUUUAGAUCUCCAACCAGCACCAUUAACAAUCUUAACUACCAACAUGCACCCCAGGAUAAAAUUGCGACUUCUAAUAAAUUAUGUAUAGUAAAAUUGAUUUAAAAUCAUAAAAAAUAAUUUAAAACAAAAACAAUUUUAAAAAUUUUAAAAACGUUUUUUUAACAUAAAAACAAGAACACAUGUACAGUUUGCGAACACGAUGCAAAUUGCGUUCCAUAAAAAUUUUAAAUUUUUUUUGCUACAAAUUAUUAUUUUUUUAUAUGUUUUGGAUCGUUUUGAUGUGGUUAUCUUAAAAAUUAUUUUUAAAAAAUAAAAAAAUAUCAUUUUAAUACAAAAAACACUUUAAAAAACAACCGCAACCACACUAAUGCCUUAGUUAAAUUUUUCCAUCACUUCAAUCAUCACACAAAGAAAAUUGGAUUGAGAAUAAAUAAAUGUAAAGUAAUACAAACCAUAAAUCGUGUUUACUUGUGUGGCAGACAACUUGCCCAUUCUAUUCAAGGCAUUGUUUAGAAGUUUCUUGACUAGCUCGUGGUUUGAUUGGAAAUAUUCCGUAACCAAAUUAAACUGCCAUUUGAAAUGGAUUGAACUUUUGCCCUACUCUUUUUGAAUAUUCCCACCUUCCAUGCUUCAAAAAGUCAAAAAGAUUCAACCACGGUGCCUCUCUUUCUUUGGAAAAAUUUCCCUCCGACCUUAUAAUAUACUUUUUCUCCUAUGUCUUAUCCUAGGAAUAACAUUGUCUUGCCCGUAUAUAAAAAGUAAUUUUUUUAAAAAAAUAUCCACCGGUCAGUUAUGGCAAUGUUUACCAUAACUAUUUAACUAUAUUUUUUAUUUUUAAAAAAAAAUUAAAUUGAUUUUUUUAAUAUGUUGAUGUUAAAAAUAAAAAAAUAUUAUUUUAAUAUAUUUUUAAAUAAAAAAUACGUUGAAAAAUAACUUUUAUCAUCUUUGAAAGAGGUCGAUAUUUUGUUUAAAAUGGUAAAUAGCUAGUUGAUAAAUGUUAAAUAACCAUCUCAACCCAAUAGCUUAAGCUGUUAGGUGAGGUUUUAGGAUAUGAUUUAUAUUAUUCUCUAACACACCCCCUCAAAUAAAGGAUCUUUGAGCUUGAAACUUGCACAAGCACACAAUACCAUGUGCUUAAUUUUUAUCAAAUAAAUGAGGAUGGUGAGAUUUGAACUCGUGAUUGCUUGGUCAUCAAGGCUAUGAUACAAUGUUAAAGAACAAUCUUAACGCAAUAGCUUAAACUAUUAGUUGAUGUUUUAGAAUAUAAUUUAUAUUAUUAUUAUUCUCUGACAAUAAAAAAAAACCGACUAAAAAAAUUAAACCUCAACUGAUUUGUGUACCUUUCAGGAGAAGAGAGUUGGGUGCUUUUUUUGAAAUUUGUAAGCAUCUCCUUAAAGAGGAUAUAUGGUCCCGUUUUCCUUUCAUCUUCACAGAUUGGGGACCAAAUUAUGUCUAUCACUCCUUCCUCACGGCCUGCCAAUGGCAAGGUAUGUUCAUGGCACGGACGUGUAAGGAGCGAUUGGCGGCAAAAAAAUUUGAUUAGGAAAAGAGAAGGCUGUUUAAUGUACGUGUAGGUCCAUGCCCCCCUUUAUGCCUCAUUCUUGUGCCCUUCCUUCAAGGAAGAGGUGAGAGUGGGUCUCAUGGAGUUAGCCACUUGGUGUUGACCAAAUUCAAACGAGGUUCAAUAAUAUAUGAAUAUAAAUAAUCUUGGUGCUAUUUAUGCAAAUUAUGAUUUCGAAUAAGUGGGAGGGAUUAAUGGUAUAUUUACAUUUCAAUGAGAAAUAAUUUAAUUAAUCCAUUAAAAAUUGGUGACACUUCACCCCCACAUAUUUUCAACAUUAAAUUAAUUAUAUGAAUUAAAGUUUGAUUUUAUUUUUAUAUAUAUAAAAAAAAACACACAAACCAUACAAAUAGGUUGACUAUUUACACAUGAAUAAGGUUGUUUGAUUAAAGAUUUAGAGAAUCAAAUUAAGCGAAACCUCUAGUUGAUUUCAUCGUUUGAUAUUGUAUUUUAAAUGACAAUUAAGUAAAAUUUUAAAAAAUAUUUUUACUUAAAAUUAAUUUUUUAAUAUUUUUUUGAUCAUUUUGAUGUAUUAUCAAUAAGAUUUUAAAAAAUUAAUAAAAAAUAUUAUUUUAAUAUAUCUUCAAAUUAAAAAUAUUUUAAAAAACAAUUAUUAUUAUUAUUAUUAUAAUUUCAAAUACCAUAUUCGUCUUCGAAGUUGAACACAUUGGUUUUCCAAAUUUUUGUUUGCUUAAGGUAAAUCACACAUGGAAACGAAAAUCUCGACAUCAUAACAUCUUGGAGGUCGAAAGAUGGUGGGAAUCCAUGGCCGGCUUAGGAAUCGAGUCAAGGUGUGACGCGAACCUAACCCACCAAUUGACAUCUGUGGUGCACUGUUUUUUAGCUAAAUUAAUCAAAGACUUUGCUUAAUUAAUCUCUCACGCACACAAACAGCACUAUUGACUUUUGUUGGCUUAAAGAUAGUAAUUACUAACUAGGAUGAGAUUAUUGACUUUUAAGUGUUUAAUUAAUGGCUACAGUCAAAAGUGACCUCUCAAUUAGCUGUCCAGGCCAAUCACAAGACUUCAAACAAGAUUAAUCUUUUUCAUAUUAUAGUUUUUAAACAUUCACUCGUGUUUUUUCGAUAUAUUAUUUAAAAAUAUUAAGAGGUUGUUUAAUGUUUUUUAAAAUAAUUUUUUGUUUAAAAAUAUAUUAAAAUAAUAUUUUUAAAAAUUUAUUUUAGAUAUUAGCACAUCAAAUCAAAACGAUAUAUAUAAAAAUAAUUUUGAAUAAAAAAAUUUAAAUUAAAUAAAAAAAAAACAGUUUUAGAUAGAGUAAGGGAGCGUUUGGCUCUGCUGUUCAACCUGCUUUUCGGCGAAUUUCAAAAUUUUUUUUUUUUUUUUUUUGCUAAAAUUGAGUGCGGUUUGUAUCUUUUGGAUCGUUUUGAUGUGCUGAUAUCAAAAAUGAUUUUUAAAAAAUAAAAAAAAUCAUUGGCAUGUAUUUCGGCACGAAAAGCUAAAUUAAAUAAAAAAAAAAAACAGUUUUAGAUAGAGUUAAUCAACGGCAGUCCCUUCCAAGGAGUCUAAUCUCAACCACACAUGUUUCUUGGUAGCUAGCCGUAAGCUGACUCGGUUAUUGCUUGCGUGAUGAAGAAGGUGGGACUAAUGAAUGAACUGUACGUCAUGAAAAUGGCCACCCACUUCGGGUCGUUGGCUGAUCCUGCGAGGUUAGGGUCCCCUUUAUGAAUAUAAUAUGUACACUUUUGUUUUUGGGUAAUUACUACGUUGAAAAUUAUAACAGUUGAUUUAUUAUAAUAUAUAGUUUUUGAACUAGUUUUUUUUCUUUAAAAAAAAAAACUCUAAAGGAUUGGUCCGGUAAUUCAAGAGAUAUGUUUCUUUUCUAGAGUUUUGAAUCCAAACCUUGAGAUAAACACUCGUAAGAGUUUUUUUUAAAUAGAUCACAUCAGAGUGAGCGGUGUGAUAUUAAAAAAAAUCAAAAGAACAUCAUCAUGAGAAAAUAAAUUUGAUUUUAAAAAUUAUUUUAAAUUUUUUAAAAAAUAAUAAAAAUAUAAAGAUUAAAUUUAAUAUAUAACAGAAACUAAAAGAGGAUGAAAUUAAAAAAAAAUUUAAUUUUAUAAAAAAUUUCAAAUAAAAUAUAUAAUAAUCAAAAUAAUGUAUUACUCUCGAUAAUAAGUUAAUAAAUUUUGUUUGAGAAAAACAAUAUGAUCAUUACACUGUUCAAAUUCAUAGCCCCGAUGAUUCAUUAAUCCUUUUGGUUUUUUUUUCUUUUUAAUAGCAAAACGAUAUGUUUUUUAUUGUAAUAGCAGUUACGAUUCAAAGUAUUUUUUAUUUAAAAAUAUAUAAAACAUAAAAUAAUAUUAUCAACACAUUAAAACGAUUUUAACACAUCAAAACAAUCUGUCUUCGUAUGGGUUUUUCUUUACGAGUUCGAACUUGCGAAAUCAACAUGACCAAGCAUUGCCUCAAAAGACUUCAGUAAACCUAUUCAAUUGCUUGGUAGCAUUAUCUCAAGAACUUAAAGUGCGAAUUAUACAGCAAGACAUUUUCCUCUCCGUCGUUCAAAAUUGAAAAAACUACACGAAGGUGACUGUCCUCGAUCCCACCUAGAACUUGAUGUUGGGCCAUCUCUGCAAUGUACAAGAAGGGAGCAUCUCUCUCUAUAAAUCCAUGGCUGAUAUUGUCUCUAGUGAAGACCAAGAUUGGGAUAAGCACAAGAUGAGUGCACACAAAGACUACGUUCCUAAUGGAAUAAUUUAAGUGCGAGGCUUCGAUCAACUUUGUUUUUCAUAAUUGACAAGCAUGACAAGCAUCUUAAUUACUUUUUUUCUACUUGGCGUUCAUGGACGAAAAAGAUCAGGUAAUUAAGGCUCCCAAAUUAUGGUAUUAGUUAAUUAAUUUUGGAUUUUAAUUACUUUUUUUCUACUUGGCUUGAGGUUAAUAUUUUGGUUAGGUCGGUUUCUUACCUCUGCGGAAACAGUUGGUGUGUUGUCGUAUUUUUCAUCAUAUUAUUGUCUUUAAUGGAUAUUAAUUAAUAUUGGAUAGAGGAUAAGCAUAAGAUGAGUCAAGAUCAGGCACACAAAGAACACCUCAUGGAAUAAUUUCAUCGUGAGGCUUCUAUCAACUUUGUUUUUCACAAUUUAUAAAGGGAUAAGUAUCUCUUUCCGACGUGAUACAUCUUACGAAUAUAUUUAUAAACUAGACAAAUAACACAAGAUUCAUAAAUUUUUUUUUUACACAUAUCAAAUAUGGAGUUUGAUUAAGAUUUAUGAUCAUUGGUUUUAGUUUAAAUUUUAUCAAAUUACUCUACAUGUCUAGUUUCAUAAAAGGUUUGCUUGCUAUAACAAGUUGAGUUGUAAAAGAUUUUUAGAGGGUGUUUGGAAGUGUAGGCUCGGUUGCUUUUCAAAGUGUUUUUUAUUUCAAAACAUAUUAAAAUAAUAUAUUUUAAAAAAAAAUUAUUUUUAACAUCAGUACAUCAAAAUAAUAUGAAAACAUCAAAAAUAUAUUAAUUUAAAACAAAAAAUAAAAAAAUAAUUGUGUUCAUAAAAAGUUUAUAUACAUGGCUCGUGUGAACCGAGAAAUACAUAAAAUGAUAUGCUAAGAUAUGAUUGGAUAGACUGGGUUGAUAUCAGUAUCACAUUGAAAAUUUUGGCCAACUUAGACAAUACUAAGGGGCUGGAAAAAUUCCAACCAUUUGGGCUUCCCAAAUGGCUGGAAUUUUUUAUUUUUAUUAUUUUUGGGUAUUAUCAUUAAUAUUAAUUAACAAAACAUUAAAUGAUAUGACUUAAUCACUGUAGUCACGUUCAGGAAAUACUAUUUACUAAAAUAAUAUUUUGUUUUUCCAUUUUUUUUUUCAUCAACGGCCAACACAUGGAAAUAUAGUUAAGACUCGAUACAAAAUUUGAAGUGUUUGGAAACACGGUACAAAUCAUAUUCCCUCAAGUUUCAAAAAUUUUUAUUUUUUAUUUUACUUUAAAUUAAUAUUUUUUUAGUGUUUUAGAUUGUUUUGAUAUGCUUAAAUUAAAAAUAAUUUUCAAAAAAUAAAAAAAAAAUAUUAUUUUGAUGCAUUUUCAAAUGAAAAACACUUUCAAAAGCAACCGCAACCAAAUUUUCAAAUACCCUCUUAAGUUGGAGGUUAGCCACGUUAACCCGAAUUAACUAAUUUUUUAAAAAUUUAUCUUUUAAAUUAAAAUAAUAUCAUUUUUAUGUUUUUUUCAAAAAAACAAAAACAUCCUAAACAACUUAGAAGUUGAAGUUUUCAAACUUGGAGGGUCGGUCUCAAUUUAUGCCUACCAAAAGAGGCUAAAUCAAGAUCUCGUUCCGGCUCUACUACCGGGGGAUGGGAUCCAAUUCCGAGAUCAAUACGACAAUGAAACUCUUGAAGCAAUGAUCUUAUCCAGAGCUAUGCAGGGAAGCUACUGCCAUCCUCUGUUUUUGGCACGUUGGGCUCUAUUUCAGACGUUUCCCAUGUCAUUGGAUUCCUCAUUGGCCACCAAGUUGCAUGUCAUAUCCACGCAGUUAGGCAGGUCUUGUCUGGGUUUUCCUCUGUUUUCAUAGGAUUUUUGUUAUUUUUACCAUAUUGGCUUCUGUUCUUACCGACCAAGCCUCUGUAGAACUAUUCCAGCAUUUUAUUUUUUUUUGGUGUUGAAACGUGGUAUAUUCUGUGUUUUUAAAAUUUUUAAUUUUUUUAAUUUAAAGUUAAUUUUUUUUUAAUGAUUUAGAAUCGAUUUGAUAAGCUAAUAUAAAAAAUAAUUUUAAAAAAUAUUAUUUUAAUACAAUUUUAAAUAAAAAAUACUUUAAAAAACUACUGUAAUCGGACUCUCAAACACACCAUAAUUUUUCCUGGCCUCUGUUUCUUCCAACCCUACCAUUUGUUGUGGCUGGAUUCAAGUCACACUAAUGGCUCAUGGCAUGGUUUUUUCAACAUAUAAGACUAUUUGUGCCGUGUGCUAGUCCAAUCUAUCAUAUUUCAAGGAAACUUGUUAUUCAAUUUGAACUUUCUUCUUCAUCACUAUUAAUUCCUUUUAUAAGUAUAUGAUAAUAUGAAAUUUUUAAAGUGUUUUUUAUUUGAAAAUAUAUUAAAAUAAUAUUUUUUAUUUUUUAAAAUUAUUUUUUAUAUUAGCACAUCAAAAUAAUUUGAAAAUACCAAAAAAAUAUUAAUUUGAAGAAAAAAUAAAAAAAUAUUUUUUUAAAAAAUACUUUUAAAAUACAAAAAUAAAUCGAUGAUAAUACAUAAUAUAGAGUUUUUGAAUUCCUCGUAUGACCAGUAUAAUUCAAGAAAAAAAAUGAUAAAUACAGUGCGCAUGUCACAGCAUGGUAUAGUUUACUAUAGCUAAUAGGGACCGAGACCAGAAAAUUAGUUAAUUAAAUCCUCAAUUUCGACGCUUCAAGGUGUUCUCAUUUAUAUAUCAUAUCAGAUCUGUUUCAUUUUCUAACUUCAAUUCUGUCAUAUUCAUUAUGAAAUUUAAUAAAUUUAAAAAUAAUUACUUCUAGUUUCAUGUAUAUCCUCUUGCCUUGUACCAUAGGUUAUAUAUAUAAAAAACCUUUAGGUUUAAGAGUCAAAGAUCUUGUACCAUAGGUUAUAAAAAGUUCAAGUUUAAGAAAAAAUUUUAGAUCCAUUUUUAUUUUAGGUCAACUUGCUUAAUCAUCAAAUGAGAUCAAAACACAUACCCAAAUUAAGCCCAAUUAAUGUUACUUUGGAAUUUUUAUUAUUUUUCUAGUUAGUUUUUAAUUUAAUUUAUAAUUUUCCUUGUUAUUUUAGAUUUUCUUCCUUUAUUUGAAACUUAUUUAAAUAGUUUAUUAAUUAUUUUCAUAACCGUUUUCAAUUUAAUAUUCUUUGUUAACUUUUUCCUAGUCAUGUAAAGUGUUGUAAAUUUAUAAAAUUCAAAAUAUUUUAUGUAAUUUUUAAAAUAAUAAGGAUAAAUUAUAAAAUAAAAUAAAAUAAAUCAUAUAAUACGUAGAGUGAUUUUUCCGUCAUUAAAACAUAUUUUUCUCUUUGUAGCUAUUAGGACAAAAGAAAUCCUAUUUUUUUUACUCGAGGCUGCGUUCCUAACCUAUCAUGCCUACGGAAUUGUUUCUUUUUGUUGUUUUAUGGGCUGGGUUUGGAACACCAAAGGAUCCAUCAUUGAGUCUCUUGUUCUGGUGUUUCUUUUUGUUUAUUAAUGAAUAUCGGCUUAUAAAAAAAUAAAAAAAAAAUCCCAAACUACAUAUAUAUUAAUAAUGAAAUAGCUUGUUUACAUCAUGGCCUUUUGUUUAUUAUUGAAUAUCGGCUUAUAAAAAAAUAAAUAUAUCCCAAACUAUAUAUAUAAUGAAAUAGCUUGUUUACAUCAUGGCCUAAAGCAUAUCAAAAUCACUCUUGUUAGGACUUUGAAAUCGAUACAUUCAUGCUUAACUUGCUCGUACCUCGACUAAUCUCACAAGUCCUGAAGUUAACGAUUAUGUAAGUCUUCAGUAACCUGAAGUUUGCGGAACUCGAACUAGUGAUUUAUAGAAAACAAAUCUAAAACCUAAUAAGUUAAGCGACCAGUUGAGCCACACUUUUUUAUUAUUAAAAUAGAUUAAGCAAGAGAGAGAUUAAUCAAUCCUUUUUAAGUGUGAAAGCAUUAAAACCAAUUCCUAGAAGACAAAAACUAGCUGUUCAUUUAAAAGCUUUUACAAUAUUAUGAGAAUUUUUAAAGGAUGUAUGGGAGUAUGAAAACGGUUGUUUUUUGAUUUUAAAAAAUUAAAAUAAUAUUAUUUUAUAUCAGUACAUUAAAACUAUUUAAAAAUACUAAAAAUAAUUUAAAAUAAACAAUUUAAAUUUUAAUAAAAAAUAAAUUGAAAAUCACUCCGACAGCAUUGUCCCCUCAGCUUUUGCUGGGUGAAUAUGUUAAACCAAGACUAAAUGGGAGGAAGACAAUGACCAUUCAUGAGAUACGACUGUCCCCAUUUUUAUUAUAGUCAAAUGGCACCCUCGUGCACCGACAAUUUAUUUCACGUGUGAUGAUCAUCCAUGGAAUUAUCGAAUUUGUUCACAAAAAGGGACCUUCUCUUGCUCACCAGAUCCUUCUCUGUGGCUCGAUUGGGACGAUGAACUCGAUCUGCAAUUUUUUAAUCACAAAUCCAUGUGUGGGGCUUCAAGAACAUAUGCAAUUGAAGAAUUACAACUAUUGUAGCACAAAGUGAUAAAUCUUGAGCCCCAAAGUGAUAACAAACUGGGCUUAAUCAAGGCCUAGCCUGGCCCAAUUUGAAAAUCAAUAUGUUAUAACGAAUUUGGUCCAAUCUCAAUCUUUUUGUUUUUGUUUUUUUUGACAAAUAUAAGGAAAAUGGUUUUGAAGGAUCCAAAUCCAAAAUCCAAUUUGAUAGAGUACACAUAUCGUCAUAGCUUAUAUUAAUUAGCUAGAAUUAGCCAGGGAUGCAUAGUUAUGGUUUUUAAUAGUAAUAUUAUCUUAAGAACCUAAAAGAUGAUGUUUACGUUUUCUAAAACAAAUUGGAAAAAUAUUAACUUAUAAAUUGCAAUGAGAGUUUUAUGAAUUAGCCGGACUCUACGGUCCAAUCCCAACUAACUCCAAUGACUCAUAAAAGUCAAUUUUAACCCCAAUAUGUGAUUUAUUCAUUUAUAGUGUCGUACGCGUGUGGUGUUGCGAUGAUCUUCUUCUUGUACCAGUUUUUUAGUGUGGAAAAAAUAAUGAAUUUUUAUCCUUUUAUGGUUUAAACAUUUAGAGUCACCACCUAUUAUUUUAUUGGAAAAUAAUCCUUCAAAAAUCUAAAAAUUAAACUAAUGUGUGUUUGGCAAAACACAAAAAAGAAAAAAAAAAAAGUAGGGUUGUGAUAAAUGUUGCCUAUUUUAAUCAAGAUAUCAACUCAAAACUUACCAUUUUUUCAUAAUUCAUCAACUCAAUAUCAAACAACACCAAAAAUCAAUCCAAGUCUUGUUAAUUUCACGAACUACAUUCAAAUCUCAUGCUAAUUCAAACAAAUCAAAAUACAUCCAAGCAUAAUUAAUGAAUCAAGAUUUAAUGCUCAAUUAGAAAUCACAUCUCUAAGAUAAACUCACAAUUCAUCACAAGAUUAUCAAAUCAUCUCAAAUAAAAACACACAACAAUCCAAAUCAACAAUGUCCAAUCAAUCCAAAAAUUAUGCACACAACAAUGAGCAUUUUGUCUCAAAUUUCAUAACAUUUUAAUAAUUUCUCAAAAAGCAAUUUGAGAUUACGGAUUAACCUUCCAAGGUGAUUGGCAUGCCCAAUAUAUAUUGAAAUCAAGUUGAAAGGGCUGUUGGAAAUGUAGUAAAGAGGUUGAAAAGUUCUCUAGAACAAUGGUGGCUCGUGUAUCAUGCCAUGUCAUCACUGUUGGAAGAAGGUGACCUAGUGGGUCCGAAGCUCCUCUAUAUCCUUUUCACUUAUGGACCAGUAAUGCUCCUUCACGCUCUCCAAUAAAAAAGAUCAAGACACUUUAAGUUUUGACUUUCUUUUUUUUCCUCCUCUGCUCAACUCUUUUUAUUAAUUAUUGGCUAGUUAUUGUUGUUGUUGUCGUCGUCACUACUGCUGGUUGCUCAGUAUGGUAGUUGGAUUUGGUAGUGAGUUAGAGGGUGACUUGUGUUUAUGUGUGGAUGAAAGAUUGUAGUCUUUGUUUUAUGGAUGGAAGAGCUGCAAGUUUUGAUCAGAAACGAAGUGAAGGAAUGUGGUUCACGGUGGCUAUUGAUUCUUGGGUCACCGUAAGGCAAGAUGGUUGAUUUUUGAUGGGUCAGGCGAGAAGAGACAACAUUAUCAUUUUAGUGGAAGAAUAUAGAAGGUCAUAGGGAGGUGGACAAAUACCUGGAAGAUGAAGAGUAACCCAGAACAAAAAGAGUCACCGGUAGGAAGAAGAGGUGUUGCUGGAAACUAUUCCGACAACUAUGAAGAAAAAAGGAGAUGUCAAUGGCCUUUUUUUGGUUUUUUAAAUGCAAGGGAUGAAGAUUUUUAGGUUUUUUUUUUUAUGUAUCUAUGCUAAGUGUGAGUUGAGAAAGAAAAGACGAGUGGUUUUUGUGUAUGUUUCUUAUGUAUGGAGGCUAUCGUGAUGAUGGAUGAAGGAUUGUCUAUUUUUGGUAAAAUUGGUGGCUAUAUUGUAAAAGAAAGGUGUAUGGUGUUUUUUUAUGUGUGAGACAAAGACAAUUUUCUAUUUUUUCUAGUAUAUUUUUUAGUGAAUCCUCUCUGGGUUAUUUUUUUCUGGAUAAUGCCCCCCUGUCCUAGAUUUUUUUAUUAUUUAUAGGCAAUGUAAUUUUGUCUCUUCCUUCUAAUUCCUCAGUUUUCAAGCAACUAAAAUUCAUUUUGAUCCUUUAUUUUCUUGAUUUGUGCCUCUGGUCCUUUUUUCUUCUUAAUUUUUCUCAUUACUUCUUUUGGUAUUUUAAUUUUUUGAAAAAGACAAUGUUAAUAUCAACUUAAUGAGAAAAUAUAAUCAAAGAUUUUGAAAUGAACGUGUAAAUAGCUGAAAUAAAUAAUUUUUUGAGUUUCGUAUUCUUUUGAUAAGACGUUGAAAUUGACAAAAUUGACGCAAAUACAUCAAAAAUAUAUAUUUUUUAUUUUUUCACUAUUUUUUUUUUGAAAAAAUAUUUUGAAAGUGUAAAAAAUUGGGUUAUGAUAUAUAGCACAAUUUAUAAUUUAUUUGUUCAAUUUUGACUGAUGAUGAACAUAUAUUUAUUUGCAUGUUGUUUUGAAUUAAUAUGUGAACCCAAUCAAAGAAAACAAUUCAAACCCAAGUCUCUCUUGAUUAUUGUUUCAAAUCUCAUAACCUAAAAAGUGAGGAUUAGGUUAUUGUCAAGUAUAAAUCUCAAAUCACUACUCUAGAAAAAUUUACCUCUAAUAAAUAAAAGCAUUUAGUUUAAAAGAAAUAUUAGCAUGUAGGUACAAUAUAUAUUUUUAUCAUAAAAUUAAAUAACAGCACAACCUACCCUGAAUAUUAUAUUUUAGAGUGAUUUUCUUUUUCUUUUAACAUAACUAUAGCCUUACCUAAAAUUCUCUGAAAACCAAUUAGGAUGUUUAGUUACCAUAAGAUCAAGUGACGAUUCUUAUUCUUAAUUUUUAUCUCUUUUCACACUUAGUCGAGAUGUCCCCAUGAAAAUUUUUUUUUAUUACAAAAACAUGUCUUUUUUUUUCCAGAAGUAAUACCUUUUGAAUUAAAAAAUAUCCUAUUUUUUUUAAUAAAAAAAUUGAAUGAAAAAAGAAAGAAAAAUAAUAAAUCAAUGAUUUCAAUGAGAAAUGUAAAAAAAUACAAAAUUUGAGAAAAACCAUAUAUAAUUUAUAAUAAAAAAUAAUUAAUAGAUGUUUUAUCUAUAUUAAAUAUUUGUAAAGAUAUUUUUUAAAAUUAAGUAUAUUAUUUUCAUAUAUAAUUAUUUAAAAAUCUAAUUGUCAAUAUUACCAUAAAAGCUAUAAUAUUAUUUAAAGACCAAGGCAUAAUCAAAUAAUUAAUUAAAUAUGAUUUGAAUAAAUUUAUUUAAAGUCAAUCCUAUUAUAAAAUUUAAGAAAAACAUUAGGGCAUUUAAAAAAUUCUGACCAACUAAUUCUGAUCAGCUAACCGACUCGUAACAUUAAUAUCUCAAGUUUUUUUUACUUAUUUUCACCUAUAAUAUCUACAUUAUUUGCCUUUAAUAUGUUGGGUCAGAUUAAAUAAUAUAAACAUUAACAAAUUUUUUUUAACAUCAAUAGUUAAUGUUAAUUAUCCAAAAGAAUAUAUAUAUCAAUAAAUAAAAAGAAGGGAUUAACGAGAAGCACUAAUACAGAAGCCUGCUUUUUCUGUGUUUACCAUGUCAAGAACCGCUAAAAACCCAACAAAUGUCAGAAUCCUCAAUAGCCACAGACCCAAAAUUCACGCCCCUUUAUUUAUAACGGUUUUCCUCUCCCCCUUGACAUUCCACCACCCAACUUUCCCGCUCUAUAAACAACACAACAAACAUUACUUUUACAAGACCAGAAGGAGAAGAACAAGAAGAAGAAGAAGGUCAUCGAUCCAAAGAAAGAAAUAAAGAAAGAAAGUGAUCACACAAUGACGAUGGAGACUCUGGCUGUAGCACCCACUCCAACACCAACGCCAACGCCAACGCCAACGCCAACGCCAACAACAGAAACAGUCAACAAUGACACAGCAAUCGCACUUGCCCAGCAAAAGAAGAACAGGAUUCAAGUGUCUAACACCAAGAAACCUCUCUUCUUUUAUGUCAAUCUCGCCAAGGUUCCCACUUUUUCUUUGCUGGGUAGUCUUUUCUUGUUUUCAAUAAUGUACGUUUUGGAUUGCUAAUUUUGUUUUUUUUAUGUUUUGGUAUAAUGGAUAAUUUAUUAAUGUGUAAUUUGAUUGUUUCUAUCUUUACAUGUAUGUUUUUGUUUGGAAUUUUUUUUCCUUUUCCUUUUCCUUUUCCUUUUGAUAGGAUCUUUGGAAGUUAGUUUUAUACUUUUUAUGGAUCAUAAUCAAAUCCUGCAUUUUAAGUAGAAAAGUUGUUUUGGUAUACUUUUAUUUUAUUAAAAACAAUUCAAUUUAUCUUUUGAACUUACUGGAUUUGUUUUAAUCUACCAAUAUCAUUCAAGUGAUCAAGUCUUGUGUGUCUUUGCUCAACAUUUCCAUUGUUUUGUGAUCAAUAAAUUUUAUGGUUUUAGACUCUGAUAUGGGGGAAUUUUUGGAGCAUCAAGUAAAUGCCUCUCUGUAGCAAAAAAAAAAAAAAGUUUCCUGCUUUUUAGUUUACUGUCAUUCAAUUGCUAUAGCAUAUAUAGCUCAUCUGAAACUUUCCUGCCUAUAUAUAGAUGAGUUGUUUUUACUUUUCUUGUAGAAAUGGUUUUGUUUUCUGGUCAUAGAUCUCUUAAAUUAUAUGAUAAAAGAAUCGUGGUUAGAUCCUUUUUAAGUGGAUUUAAAGUUUUCCUUCUUCGUCCGUAUGUUAGGAUUAAUUAUGUGGUUAUCCAUCUGGUACAACUCUUUGAAAUGGGAUAGUAGACAAAACUUAAAUAAUUAAAUUGAGAUUAUUUUGUCAUUAUUUUCCUUUUCUUCUUUAAUGCGGAAGUGAUGUCAUUCUUACAAGAAAAUCAUGCCUACAAUGUGAUUUAAUAGGACAUCUUAACGAUUACUGAUCAUGUGAACAUUAUAAUGUUGAGACUCGUAUACUCCUUUAGAUUGUACAGCUCCUGGAUCUGUGUUUAUGAUUUUUAUUUUAAUCAUGCAUUGUGAUUUUGUUGCAGAGGUACAUGCAGCAGUAUAAUGAGGUCGAGCUUUCCGCCUUGGGCAUGGGUAUGUUCUACAAAGCCACAUCUCAUAGUUUUGUUAUGUUUCUUAUUUGUCUAUGGAGUGGUAGUUUUGUCUUUCUGGUGGAGUUUCUGCCGACAAUAAGCCAUUAACAGUCUACGGAAUGGUAUGAGCUGGUAUUGAGCAAUUGUUGCUGUAUCAUGAAGAAUACCGUAGAGACAUGAGUGUAACAGGACCAAAGAAGGAGUUGCUAAAAUGGUUCUUCUAAGCUUUGGUUUAUCAGGACCAUACGAAUGUAGAGCAUUUUUAAUGAACAGUUGAAAAUGAUUUAUGUAAAAUGCAUUUAUAAUCAUGUUAGCGUAAGAACUGUUUUUGGUUUUAAACAAAAAUCCAUUCCAUAGAGGUAGCGGAAAAUCUUUGUAAGAGAUGGAAGGAAACAAUAACUUUGUAUUGUGGUUAUCAUGUCUGUUUAAAAAUUAUUUUACAUUUUAUUACAGCAAUCACCACAGUUGUUACAAUCGCUGAGAUUUUGAAGAACAAUGGACUGGCCAUCGAGAAGAGUAAGAAUUUCCUCCUCCUAAUACCGAGUCUUGUAUUCAUGAUGAGGAUAUCUGAUUUAUAACAUUUUUAUUUAUGGACCAAACAGAGGUUUUGACAUCUACUGUUGGCAUGAAAGAUGAGAACAAAGGACGACAGAUUCAGAAGGCUAAGGUAUGGUUAAUCUCAUUAUGAAUCUUAAUUUGAUUCAUCAUCCUCUCAUGUAUGAUAAUUAAUAACGAAUUUUUCUUAUUAUCCUUUUCUUUAUGGUAACUGAUUGAUUAUUUUUCCUUGACUUCUAGAUUGAGAUUGUGUUGGAGAAGUCGGAGAAAUUUGAUAGUCUGAUGAAUGCUGUUAGUUCAGCUCCAGAGGAGGAGGCAGCGAAAGAUAAUAAGGAUGAUGAGAAACAGUGAAGGAAAUUUGAUGCUCUCUUGUUGUAGUUCUGUAUCCACUUUUUUAUUUUCCAUCUACCUAAUAGUGGCAGGGACUUAUUUUUUCAUUAAGUAUUUUAUCAUGGAUAAUUUAGGAGUAGAGAGACAGUGGCAUAGUGGGACGUUGCAGUUAUAUAUAUGCCUCUCUCUUUGCUCUGAUUAUACACCUGUAGAGAUCAUAAAUGUUAUUAUACUGUUUCUUUGUUCACAUGUACUCUUUCGGUGAAUCUGCAUUUAAAGGAUUGUGUGAGCAUCUAAUCUCUGCUAAAUUUACUUAUAAAAUCUAUUCUAUAUAAAAGGAUUGUUGGGACAGUAAAUCUGAUAUGAUCUGGGAACUAGGUGCGGCACGCGCACAAUUUCACUUUACAGAUGGUAAGAAAUAGUAAAAUGUUUGGUCAGGAUUUGAACAUCAUAAAUUUUCUCUAACAAUGCCAUAUAUGUCAUACAUGGAUAGUAAUUAAUUCAUGAAUGAAACCAUAUCUGUCAUUCAUGCAUAAACAUGUAUAAUCGGCUGACUUAUAUUUAAGGAUUGGAAUCCCUUUUCUUGACCUGAAAUUAGUUUUUGCUAAGAAUUUGUUAGGUAUAGUGUUUGGAAAUUGCUGCGCCGCCGUUGAGGUUCUGUUCGAGGUUUCAAUAAGCGUUACAAUAGAAGUUUCGCAAUCAAUAAUGAAUUUUCAGGAUUACAUUCGGUAUGUUUAGAUCUUAAUGCUGUCCAUGAUUUGGCUAUCAAUAGCAAUUGUUUUCUUCAUUUUUUAGUUCAACUCAUGCAUGCUUUAGUUUGCAAACAUGUUUGUUAUUGUUAGAUCCAGUUUUUUUUUUGAGUAUCUGUGCAAAGGAAAUCAUGUUAUUGCUUCCUCCAACCCAAAGUUCACUGCUAUUUUUUUUUCACAUCUGCUUCAUUGCUUGGGAUGCUUUCAUUCUUUUAGAUCCAUCAGCGAAACCGUUUUUCUCCUCUUUUGUAAGCAAUGUUUAGAUCCAUUAGCGAAAACAUUUUCCCGCAAAUUAUCUAGUUCAUUGUUAAAUAAUAACAAUAUGCUGAUCUUGAUUGUAUCGAAAUCUCCGGUUACAUUUCUAAUGAGUGAUAAAGAUGAAAGUGAUCAGAGAAGCUGCAGCCUUGAUCAGCACUUGUAAUGAUCCGCGCAAUCAUUUCUAAGCAUGCAUGGUUUAUCUCUUCUUGGUGAACUGUGGGGCCUAGUUCCUCUCAUUUCUUUGUGAAAUUUACAGAUCGUCAUCCUACAUCUUUUACGUCUGAUUUUUAAUGUUGUUUCCUGAUAUGUUUUACUCGUACACACCUAGAGUGCCCUUCAAGGGAUAAACAGUUUGGCGAUAUAUGAACCUAUUUGCUAAUUCACAGUGUGUAAAUCCUGAUAGGCAAGCACUCACCUUUUAUGGAGAAACUCAAGUUUAUAGUAGUUUUGUAUGCAUUCACACAGCAUACCCUUAGUUAGACAGCAGCUCCAAGUCAGGAUGCCCUAUUGACCAGUGAGUCUUAGACGUUGACAGAGGAAUAUCCUUUCAGUAACUAAGUCUCUGAGUCUUCUGCAUGAGUCAAGGUGUUAGAUUCCAUAGAGAUAUAGAGUUAAUUAUAAAAUCAUGAAUCUAUCUAGUCAAAGAUUCAGGUUUUGAAGAAAAUUUAUAGAAAGGUAACUUAGUUUUAAACUAGUCAGUCCUGGACGUUGACAGAGGACUAGGACUGUCUCAUGCAUACAACAUUUCUGGCAAAUAGACAGAGGACUAGGACUGCCUCAUGCAGACAACAUUUCUGGCAAAUAGAUUAGGUUUUCUAUGAAGCAUUUCUUUCUGGAUAACUGAAUGGAAGAGUGCCAUUUGCAAACAGAAUUGUAGGCUUAUUGCUUUCCAGAAUUUCACCUAUCAAUCACAAUUUCUCUCUCUAAUCAUGCAACUGAGUCCUCAAUUUAUAUCUUUCAUUGUCUAGACAGUAUAGAUUGUUGUAUGCUCCUGUUUAGCCCAUUAUAUAAGUUAUAACCCAACCCAACUAGGGUUAUUUUCAUCAUUUUCCAGUCAAAACAAGGACCACAUUGCAAACUCAAGAUUUUAUCUGGGCCACAAAAUCAAAACCCAAAAAUCUCCUUAAAACGGAAACUCCUCUUAUACACGCGCACACACCUCAGACACAGAACACAGUCUCUCUGUCUCCCUCUCGCUCCCCAUAUAUGCUGCAACACUUUUCCAGACCUAAAACAGAAAAAACCCACGAACUCUGUCCAACUUUCACUGCUUUUCAAAACCCAGAUUUUCUGCUUGUCUCUUAAUGUAAGUUCUUGCUUAAUCUCGUCUUCUUGGUGCUUUAUUACUGUACUUCUUUAGGGUUUUAGUUGUUAUUUCUUGCAUAACUGUUGUUGGGUUAUUUCGUUAAUGCUUUGUUUUCAAGUCAUUUAGGUUGCUUGGCUAUGACCCUUUUAUUGGUUUUUGUUGAUUAACGAUCCUAUGCACUUUUUCUUUCUUUUUUUUCUUGCUCAAAAAGGGUUCCUUUUCAGAUUGAGGAAUUAGGGUUCGCAGUUUUCUUGUUUAUUAUGGGUGGUUUUGAAAUAGUAUAUAGUGCUUGGUAUUUGCCUGGGCGUGUUUUCCAUAUAUCCUAUAAGAUACGUGUUUUUGUUUUGUUUGUUUUUUGUGUGUAUGUUUGUAUAUUGAUGAGGGGUUAUUGGGUUUGAAUUUUUUUAAGAAUUCAUGGAAUCUUGGCAGUGGAACUGUUAUCUAUAAUAAAGAAAGAAGAAACUAGGCCUGUUUUCUUAAACUCAAAUAUGUAGGGGGCAGGGUAAGGUAUAUAGGCGAAUGCUAGUGAUGACAGCGGCGCCAGACUCCCAUUAAACACACGCCUCUUGCAUUUCAAGUGAUUUCACCACAUUGAUUGUCGCUGCAAGGAUGUAAAAAACUUAAAAAGAGGAUUAAUAUUAAUAUUAAAUUAAUUAAAAAAAACUAAAGGAGGAGGAGGAGUUUGUACUGUAUCCCUAGACUCAUAACACUAUUCAUGGAAUUGUGAUCUGACAAAUUUGUCCCUGGGCAGGAUUUGACGGUCUUUUUACCAUGAUUCAAUGUAAUUUCCAAAUUAUCCGUGGUAGAUAAGUUUUCUCAAUUUUUUAGAACAUUUAAAUCACUUAAAUACCCUCGGAACUAAAAAAAAAAGGAUGGCUUAAGCUCAGGGGUUCUUAUGUUUUUAUUUUUAUUUUUUAUUAACGUUAAAUUACUUAAUCACCUCUUGGUUCAAAAUUAAUAAAACUAUCUUUUAGGGUUUUUUUUGGUCUUUUCAGCAUGAUUUUUUUUUUGUUAAUGUCAAUUUAACUGGGGGGCUUUUUUGUAUUUUAAUAAAUUUUUAAUAAACUUUGUUGGCACGUGCCAGCAUGUAGGAUUGUAGGCAGACCCCAUGCUCUUUGAGCAACACAUGCAGGGUAAUCAGUUACCAAACCCUACCUUCCGCGGCGUUUAAAAGGUCUCGAUGCUCCUUCCAUGAUGGGGAGGUGUGUGUGUGCCAAUAAUCUAUAAAAUUAGAAUUCUCUUUCAAUUUCAACCUUUUUUUUUAUUUUAAAUUUAGUUAUUAUUCUCUUGAUUGCUAUUUAUUUUGUUUGAGAUUUUUUUAAAUUGUUUUUUUUCUCAAUCUCAUUCUCAUGUUUUUUUUUCCUAUCAAACUUGAUUUCUAUUUUUUUUAUUGUUAUCUUUUUUUACCUUGAUAAGUUUUUUUAAAUUAAUAUUUUUUUUCACGAUUUAUCCUUCAACAUUAAAUUGGUUGAGAAUUAAGUUUCUUCAUUGAACUCGGGUUUAAAUUUUAAAGGUUGCGAGUUUUAGAGAUUAGACCAAGUUUAAAAGGUUUGCAUCGAGUUUGUUUGGUUUUUUUUCUUUUGCUUAAGCGCUUUUUUUUUCAUCCUUCAACAUUUAUUCAAUUUGAAAAUGAGUUCUAUUAUUUUUAUUCAUUUGAUUUAUCUAAAAUUUUGCGCUGGUCUUGAAAAUGACCUUGGUUAUCUCAAGUCCUUUUCAUAUGUUGUUCUUUGUUGGGUUUUUUUAUCUAAUUCUUUAAAUUGAUAAUUUUUUUCGAUUUUGUUCUUUAAUAUUUAGAAUAUUUUUUUUAAACAAUUUGUAAAAUUAUAAUUCAUUUUCAAUUUCAUCUCCUUUAAUUUAUUAAUUUUUUUGAAUUUAGUCCAUAUUCUUUUGAUUGCUAUUUAUUUUAUUUUAAAUAAUUUUUUUUAACAAUUUCAUUCUUUUUAAGUUUUUUAUUUCUUGUCAAAUUUGAUCCCUGUUCUUCUUUUUUUGCUUUGAUAAAUUUUUUAAAUUGAUAUUGUUUUUGUUUCUAUAAUUCGACAUUAGAUUAGUUGGGAAUUGAGUUUCUUAACUGAGUCCGAGUCUAUGAUUUCAUGGGCUCUGGGUUUUAGGGAUUAACCUAGGUUUGAGAGGUUAGCCAGAUUUGCUUUUUUUUUUCCUCCUUGUUCUUUAAGCUUAUAUUUUUUAAGUUUUAUUUUUCAAUAUUUAUUCAAUUGGAGAUUGAGUUUCGUUAAUUUUAUUUAUUUGCUUUCUUUAGGAUUAUUUAUUUAUUUUGAAAAUAACCUGGGUUUUCUCAAGUCUUUUUAUUAUUGUUAUUUUUUUGAUUUACUUUGGGUAUUCAAUAUUAAAUUAGUUGAGAAUUAAACUUUUUGAUUCAAUCCGGGUCUAGUAUAUAAUGGGUUGAGAGUUUGAGAUCUUAGCCCGAGUUUAGAAGGUAUGCUUAGUUUGUAUGAUUAAUUUUCCCCCUUCUUUUAAACUGAUUUUUUUUUAAUUUCAUCUUUCAUCAUUUAUAUCAUUAGUGAUUAGAUUUCUGUUUUUCUUUAUCUGUCUACUAUAGGUUGUCCUGAGUUUUUUUAUUUGUUGUUUUUUAUUGGAUUAUUUGGUAAGUUUUCUAAAUUAAUAAUUUUUUAUUGCUGAUUUCAUCAUUCAACAUUGUAUCAGUUGGUAAUUUUUUUUUUUGGUUCCUUCUUUCGAGGUUAAGGUUUUUUGAUUUUAGGCUUCGUAUUUUCUUUUUAUCUGUCUAUACUAGUCCCAUCACCCAGACUAUAAAAUUUGUGGGUUGGCUUAAUUUUUUUAGGGUUGUUUUUUUAAAUUUAAUAUUUUUUAUGCUCUGUCUUUCAACAUUAAGUUGUUUGGAUUUGAGUUGUGUGAUGUUUGCAGGCCUGCCUUCUAUUCAGUUGUCUCAUUUACAUGAUCCAGAUCACAGAGUUUGGUUUGCUUGGUUUUUUUUUUUUUUUUAAUUGACCCUUUUUUAAAUUUUAUUUUUCGACACUGGAUUUGUUUGGAAUUCAAUUACGAGUCUUUUUUAUUUGUUUAUCCCAAUCUCAUAACACGAUUUGCAAAUUUGGCAUGUUUGGUAAGGUUGACCUAGGUUGUUUUUUUUGUCUUCCACAUUUGAUUGGUUGAAAUCUUAACUUCAUUAGCCUUUUAUUAUACCCUUUUUUUUUUUUGUAGGUUGUUGUGAUUUUUUUUAAAGUUGGUACAUGUAUCAUCCUUUUUGUUUUUUUUUUUUUUCAGUUGGUUCUAUGCCUCGAGUUGCAUUUUUUUAAAACUUUUUUAAAACACGUUCGCUUCACUCGAGCGUCUUUUUUUUUUAACCAAAAAAAUGUUCUAGACCGCGGCAUAGUGUGGGCCCACAAACUAGUAUGUAUAUAUAUAAUUUCAUCAUUUGUUCCUGCAAGUAGUAGUAUUUGUGGCGUUGAUGAGUGGCCCUUGUUCAGGUUGUAUAUGUGGCUCUUUAACAUAGUUGUUUAAUGGAAGUCAUUAUAAUUCUUGCCUUUUUCUUGACCUUCCAUGCCCUGCAGUUGUAUUAUGGCUCCAGGUUGUGGAAAACUUUCCCUUCUUUUUAUUAGAUUCUUUUUGCACCAUUUUGUUUAUAUUGGAAAUUGAAGGCAUGGGUGUUGAGAGUUUGUUGAUUUAAGGAUUUCUACACCUUUUUCUUUCUUCUAUAUAAUUUGGAUAGUUGGGUUUAUAAACUACGUUCUUGCUUUCUUACAGUGCAUAUCUCAUGGCGGAUGUUGAUCAAGGCAUUGGUGAGCAUGAAGUGGAUCACGCUGCAGUUCAUGGUGUGGAUCCUGCUGCUGACUGUGUUGAUCAUCCUGUAGACCAUGGUUUGGACUCCACUGACCUUGGAUUGGAUCAUGGCACUGAUCAUGCUGUAGAUCAUGGUGUGGAUCACAUCACAGGUCCUGGAUUGGCAGUAGAGCAUGAUGACAUGGAUCACCCUACAGAUCAUCAUGUGGAUCCUUCUAUAGACCAUGAUGUGGAUCACCCUGUGAACCAUGACAUGGAUAAUGCUAUAGAUCAAGUGCCUGAAAAUAAUGAGGCUUCAAAGCAAGGACAUGAUGAGGAUACAGUCUCUGGAGGUGGUGAGAAGAGGUGGCCUGGAUGGCCUGGAGAGAGUGUGUUUCGGAUGUUGGUUCCUGCUCAAAAAGUAGGCAGUAUCAUUGGCCGUAAAGGGGAGUUCAUUAAAAAGAUAGUCGAGGAGACAAGAGCACGCAUUAAGAUACUUGAUGGUCCUCCAGGGACGACAGAAAGAGCUGUAAGUUUUUCUUCUCUUUUAUUUGCCCAACUAGGUUAUCUGGAAAAUAUAGAAAUAGGCUGGUUGGAAAUAAUUUGUUGAUGCAAAGUGUUUGAUGGUUAGACCUCCCUUGAUAUUUCAUUCAUAUGUCAACUGAAUCUAUCAUAGCAUGCUUUAAUUUUGUUUUUCUUUUCUUUUUAUGUUUUCCUUUCCCUCUUAAGAAAUUGAUAAUUUGGAACAUGGAAGCAAUUUUCAGGCAUUGCAGAAUAUUUUGUCAGGGUUAGCUGGUUGUGUUGUAAUAUUACAAGUUUGGCCAUCUAUCUAUAACACGUCUGAUAUUUUUAAUAGGAAUUUGGCGGUUGCUACUAAAACUUGUUUGUGAUUGGAUCACAUGAUCAUCAAUCUGUGCUUUGAGCUAUAUUAACAUCAAUUACAAAGGAAGCUUGUUUAUGGAAGAGAGAUUGAUAAGGCAAGCUUAAUUUUAUGUAUUGACUUAAACCCAUAACAAAGAAGCUAGCUUUUCAAAGAGAUUGAUAAAGUUUUAAGCUUAUAAAUUUCUCCUUAGCUGUAAAUAUAACUUGUAUUAAGGAGUUUUCUAAUUAUUAAAACAUAGAAGAAAAUGGAAGUGAUAAUUAAAACACACAUUUCAAGUUGAGGUUGUAAAGCUUCUAUGCAUCAUUUGUAAACCAAAUUAAAAUCUGUGCAAGUGGCACAAUUCUGAUCUAUAAUUGUUUGGAUAUCUGAUUCAACUGUUUAUCAUCCAACCCUUUGUGUUCUUGCCACUGUGUAGUAUUUUUCAUGGCAGUCAUUUGUUUUCUAUGGAUAUCCGAGUUAUGUAUCUAUCUGUACCUUGCAAUGAUAUUAAGAGGGAGAGUUCUCAGAAAUAUCGCAUAUUAUUCUGUCACCCUUUAAAGCUACAACAUUUGAUUGGGAAUUAAGAAAUCAAUUUUGAAGAGAACCUAAGAUAUGAUCAUUUAACUUUGAAUGAAUCAUUAUUGUAAAAGUUUGCGUAGUUGAAAAGAAGACAAAAAGGAAGCCUCGUCAGAAGAAAUCGAGAAGUAUAACAGAAAUACUUUUAUUGCAAUGACAAAUGAAUGUGUGCAGGUUCUGUCCGCAAUUUUUUAAGCAAUGUAUCAACCAUCAUUAGGAUCCCAAAUUUGAAGAACCAAAGAUCCAGAUUGCUGGGAUCAGCAUUGAGCAUUGCAAAGUGCUGAAAAGUUGAUUUGAAUAUACAGACAUAUUACACGAACAACAGUUCCAUGAAGCUCUGCAAUCUUUCUGGUAACUUCAGAAACUGCAUGGUUGAUUUCUGCCGCAGCUUGUAAACACCACAAAGGAACCUGUUUUAAUCAACAUUAGAGGAUGCAGAAGAUGUUAACAUCAAAGUGCUAAUCUAACUUUGUCAUAAUAUACUUCCACGAUUAAACAGUAAAAGAGACAAAAAAUUUGGUCAACUUUAGUAAAUAAUACACUGAAACUUGUCAAUCCAUGAUUAUGUUUUUUAUUUUUAUUGGUUAAAAAAAUUAAGAAUCAAAUCUAAGUGAAGUGUAAUAGUAACCCUUAGUUACAUGUUAGGAGGAGAAAAUGAUCAAAUGUUAUGCAUUAGAUUUGACAUCAUGGCGAACAGAGGAGCAGGUGGAGAAUUUAUAGUGCAUGCGCGCUAUUGAAUUUUGACAACAAAAUUGAGGAAUCAUUAUUCCCUAGAGGAGGAGAAUAGGGGAAUAACAGGCAAUGGUUGUGGUGAAACUCUAAUAUAGUUGUAAAAUUUCAUACAAUGGGAUACCAUAUUGUUUGAAAUGUUAUUUAGAAAGAGUUGUGUCAUUGUUUUUAUUUUUUAUUUUUCUCACUUGUUGCUCCAUCUCAUUUCAUUUUCCUCUUCCCUUGAGGUGUUCUUGGACUCGAGUCAUAGUUUUUUUCCUUGGUUUGUUAUACUAACUUUGUUAUAUAGGUAAUGGUAUCUGCCAAGGAGGAGCCUGAUUCCUCUCUUCCUCCUGCUAUGGAUGGCCUACUGAGGGUUCACAAACGCAUUAUUGAUGGUUUGGACAGUGAUUCUUCUAACACUCCACCAACCAGUGGAGCUAAGGUUUCAACAAGGCUGCUAGUACCAGCCUCACAAGCUGGAAGUUUGAUAGGAAAACAAGGAGGAACCGUUAAAUCCAUCCAAGAGGCAUCGACUUGCAUAGUUAGAGUUCUUGGUGCAGGUUUUUCCCUUUCGCUUCUGAGUUUGAAAUGAUUCAAAAUUCAUUUUGUUAUCUGUUUUCUUGAAUUAAGCUAUUGCUGUUUGUCAUGGUGAAGCCAUAAUCAAUGGCUGUCUUUUACAAUUCAUUCCAUUUUUCAGAAAAUCAUGUUUUGUAAAUUAUGCUUUACUGGAUUCAAGUGCUGUUUUUUCUCAUUGUGUUAUAAUUGCAACUAAUUCAGUAAUGGCAAAUUAACCAAGUUCUUUGGAAAUAGAAACUAUCUGAAAUAUGUAGUUGUCAUGCUCUAAACUUACAAAUCAAGUUUCUGAGUAAUGGAGGGGUGAACCAAGGCCAUCAUUAACAGAGUUCCUUGCAUUUCUUCAUCUUCUUCACUUACCUCUGUAAUAUGUGCCUUUAUUAUUUGUUGCCAAUUUGUUAUAAUUUCUCAACCACACCAUUACCGACAAUGCCUCUAGCUCAGCUGUUCACCCCACCUCUUCCACCCACCAUUGUAUCACUGUUGUUUAUUUAUAGUGGUAUCAUGAUGAUGUUGGUUUCAAUACCUAAUCAAUGACCACCACAUGCAGUUCUUUUUUCUGAGGUUCAGGAUUGCAUAAUUUAUUAUUGAGGUUCAUGAUUCCUUUGUAAGAUCUGGAACAUCUAUCUGACCUAUCUACCUUUCUUUUCUUUUAAGGUCCCACCUUCUCCGCUAAAAAAAGUGUGGCAAAAUUAUUUGAGGAUACUCAUUUAGUGGACUGUUUUGCUCUCACCCCUCUUCUGCUGUUUAUUAUGAAACUCAUCUUAAUAAUUGAUUAUCUUAAUGCCUCGUAUGUUCAUUUUGUUUUACAAGUCCUCAUGGUUUGGAUUCAGAUACUUCUCUCAACUUAUUUCUGAAUUUUAUCUGCAUGUCUAAUCUCUCUGUUUUUUUUUUAUCAAACUGCUGCAGAAGACCUUCCAGUUUUUGCUCUUCAAGAUGAUAGGGUUGUUGAAGUAUUGGGGGAAGCAGCUGGAGUGCACAAAGCAGUGGAGUUAAUUGCAUCUCAUCUCAGGAAAUUUUUAGUUGACCGAAGUAUAAUUCCGUUAUUUGAAAUGCAAGUAAGCUGCUCUUCAUUAAGAUUGGAAUGACUUUACCUAUUAUGGCAUGACUGGUCUGAUGAAAUUCUGAUUUAUAUAAUUUACAAGAUGCAAAUGUCGAAUCCUUCAAUGGAGCAGAUGCCACCACAUCAAUCAUGGGGUCCACCUCAACCCCUUCCUCCAAAUCAUGGUGGAGGACCUGGUUAUGGACAAAAUCCCCAAUAUAUGCCACCUCCGCGACAGCUUGACAAUUACUACCCUCCUGCUGACAUGCCACCUCUAAUGGAAAAACAACCUCACCAGGGUAUAUCUGCAUAUGGAAGAGAAGCUCCCAUGGGUAGCCAUGCUUCAUCAAAUGCCCAAGCUGCACCAUCAAUGAUCACACAGGUUCUUUUAUUCUCUUUGUUUUCCUUCCCCCUCAUCCAUCUCAUUGAAGGAAAUUCGAGAUGCUUUUAGCACCUUUAUGUUGGAGAAUGAGAUGGGAUGUGGGAUGACAUGCCGAUAAGCAGAAACACCCCCCCCCACCCCCCUGGAUGUUCUAUGUAAACAUUUGAUUCGAUUUUAUUUUCCUUUUUCACGAUUUCUUGAGGUUGGCAAGGGUUGUGUAGCUCUCAUGGGGAGCUUUGCCCACUGCUAUAGCUUUCCAUAAAAGAUAUCAUAUAGUAAUUUUACAUCCCAGAUUUGAUGGAGUGGAAUUAGAGACCUUUUAAUACAAAUCACAUGCAGAAGAUUUAUGCAAUCAUUUUUCCUUGGUAUUAUAUGUUAUUAUUUUUGGUUGGGAUGGGUUUGUAAUAUUUCUCAGGCUUUUCUUUCAUUGCAAAUGAAGUGGUUCUAUUUUAUUCGAUUGCAAGCCAAAUAAUCUCAUUUUGUAUUUCUUUCUGGCACUUAUCAGCACCUUUGGAGGUUUCAAAAUGACUGACAGAUUUUGUGGGUUCUUGUGCAGAUUACACAACAAAUGCAAAUCCCAUUAUCAUAUGCUGAUGCUGUUAUUGGGACAGCUGGUGCAAGUAUAAGCUACAUUCGACGUGCUAGUGGGGCAACUGUUACUAUACAAGAAACUAGAGGUGUUCCUGGGGCAAUGACAGUUGAAAUCAGUGGAACUGCUUCUCAAGUCCAAACAGCUCAGCAGCUGAUACAGGCAAUAUUUCAUGCUUUAGCUCAAUUGAUCUUCCCCUCUCUUUACUAGAUGUAUCCUAUUUGGGUGACAUGUUUUCCUAAACUGCUGAUUGUAUAUGAAUGGGCAUUGCUUGCAUGAGAUUUUGACAAGGCUUGCAUUUAUUUAUCAUGUAUAAUCCCGCAAUUAUUCAUGUUUAGUCUAAAAUUUAAUUUUAGGCUUAAUAAGGAUGUUUACAAACUGAAGCUAAAUAACGAGUUGUUUGUCAAAUGGACAACAUAAUAUCUGAUUUGCUUUGCUGGUUGUGCGGCAGGACCUUGUCAUUAUAGGCUGCAUAUUGUGGUAUCUGCUAGGAAUGUCAUAAAAUAUUUGUUACGGUUCAUGGCAUCUGUUCUGCAGAGCGUAUAAGUACUUGUAAAUUGAUUAGUGUUUCAAGGUUGGGAAAAGUGAAGUUGAUGCAGGAUGGUUUGUCACUAAAUAGGAAAACAUUUUGUAUAAUAGGAAGAACCUACUUUACAAUUUCCUUUUUAAACAUCCAUGUGCACUGAGGUGUAAUUUUAAUCAGGUCUUCAUCAUUUGAAUUGGAGCCUGUGGCCAAGAUUAUGUGGCUUACUAGAUAGUGAUUGUUGUGGCAUGUAGUUUCAUAGUAUGAUGCUGCACCAUAUAUUUUCCACCUAGAAUGACAAGUUCAAUGAAAGAAGACAGAGCAGGAAAAAAGAUUGAAGUUCUGAUGGAUGAUGAACGUCAGCCAAGUGAUUUAAAAAUUGUUCUUUUGGCAUAGUGAUAGGUUCGGGUGAUCGUUUACUAGAUGGAAAUUGCUGAUGUUGACUCAUUCUUGUUCUCAUUUAUAUAAAGAAAAUUUUCUGUUUUUCUAAUAUAAGCAAUCUCUUGUUUAAUAGUUGGGCUAAAUACGGUAGCUGGGGAUCCCAGCUGUUGAUUUGCAUUAAUUAUAGUGUAUAUGCAUUUGAUGGGAUUCUGAUGGUGUACUCUUCUAUUGCAGAAUUUCAUGGCUGAAGCUGGAGCCCCAGCACAGCCUCAGACAGGUGGGGCUGCAGACCAAGGAUACAAUCCUUAUUCACACAGUUCAGUGUAUGCUUCUCCACCAUCCAAUCCAGAACACACCGGCCAUGCUGGGGGAUAUGGCUCAAUGUAUGGUGCAAACUAUGGUUACUAGGCAGCAGCUCUGAGUUGGUUCCCUCGUUGAUAUGACUUGUUCUUUGCUGAGUUGGUUUCCUCUGCGAACUUGGAUGAUAUUAUCACCAAAUAAUCAAUUAAGCAUGCUGUAGUUGUACCUUGCAUUUCUCUAGAUUCUUGGCUAGACAAACCUAAGUUAGAUUCUUCAUGUGCAUUAUGCUUGGACCACAUGGCGUUGCCAAUAGAAUGUUUUAAAUUCUUGUGCAACUUCAGCCAUAUGCUCGACUCUUCUAUGAUAGCUUCAUUUGUGGACGAAAAUUGUCACUAUUAAGGUACUUUGGCGUCCAGUAACUCAUCUUAGUUUUGUUCUUGCCUUUUGGUCCUGUGGAUUGUGUGUGCUUUGUAGAGAAAAGGGCAGUUGUUGGAAUUGAGUUGGUUUUUGUGAAUGGAGAGGUAUGAGCAGUUUAUUAAUUUUCUGUAAUCUUCUCCAGGUUCUUGGACUUUUGUUUAAAUGAUUGGCUAAUUGGUCAAGUUUUACUCGAUUUGUUUUGAUUUUUUUAAAGUGUUUUUUUAUUUGAAAAUAUAUUAAAAAUAUAUAUAUAUUUUUAAAAUUUAUUUUUAAGUUCAGCACUUUAAAUAUUUAAAUUUUGGCGAAAGCACCAUCGCCAAACGGGCUGUAGGUGACUGCUGAACCAAUUUUGAUGGGUUCGUUCUCUAGUUAGCCUUUUCUAUAUGAACUGAUCGUUCAAUUCAAAAGGCAUUUGAGGAAUUGAAAUUUCAUCCACCACAUUUUCCCCCCAGCAGACCGGAUCUUGCAAACUUUAAUUCUAUUUUACAAAAAGGAAGUUUGAAACCCAUUUAAUUUACUUCAAUGAAAUCCCUCUUCCCUUCCUAAUAUUUCUUCUUUAUUUUUUGAGCUUUGAAUUUAGUUUUUGUAUAAUUUUUUUUGUUUUUUUAGGUUAUUUUAGUCUUAUUAUUGGGAUUGUAGAUUUUAUGAAUUAAUUUGAUUGACUUAAGUUUUUUUUAUAUAAUUAUUUUGUUAUUUAAUAUUUGAUUUGAUUGAGAAUUAAAUUUUAUAAUUUAUUUUAUUUUAGUUUUUAUAAAGUUAUUCCAGUUUCAUAAUUUGAGUCAAGAAUAUAUAAAGCUAAAAGAAAAUGAGUGAGAGUGCAGAGAUAAAGAUAAAUGGAGAAGGAAAACAAAAAAUUCCAUACCAAAAGAAGAACAAAAACUGCAUCAUUUGAAGUGGACAUGCCAUUUGAUAAUGGAGAGUGUUACAAUUUCUAGAGGAGGAUCAAAGUAAGAUGAAGAAAAUAAAAGAAAAGGAGAGGAGGAUCUACAAGUGCUAGAUGAAGAUAUCAUGAGGUUUGGGUGGCUUGGAUCUUUUCAUCACAUAUAUACAUGAAAAAAUGUUGAACUUGUAGGUAUUUUCGCGAGACAAACUGCCAACCGAUGCCAUAACAAGUCCUUGAAAAAACCUGAAGCUCCUCUGUUUACUCACGUAGGUCUCUUUGGACACUACUAGUAAAGUAAAGAACAUGAUGUCGAGAAAGAAGAGGAGAGUAGAUAAAUUAUAAUGGUUUUAUUAUAUGCGAAGCUUGCCUUGUACCAAGCUACGCACAAACCUCUCCUAUGAUUGGGAGAGGGACCUGGAUAUAGCCAGGUGUUUUCGUGCAUGCUAGAGUGUAUGAUUUAUGAGUAAUACAUGAUGAUGAAGUGCUGCUAAUUAUAGAUGAUGCUAGACAGACCCUUGAAAUGGUUUUUUCCCGCGUGUCAUCCUCUAACAUUCAAAGUCUUUAAAUGUUGUUCCUGUAAAACAUAAGCAAAAGAGGAGCUGGCGGCAGAAGAGGGCUUGCAGCAAGUGCUGCUGUAUGUUUAACUUGCUGACUGAAGGCAGUUCCUGUACUGCAGAAUGUUGCGAAGUGCUCACAGUUGUUAGACAGGAGGUUAUAUUUGCCGAAACCUUCUUUCAACUUUUCUUUUGCAGUCUCAACAAUUUCACUCCCCGAUUUCGAUCUCUCGGUGGUGGUGCAAUUAGGGCACAUGGUAUGAGAAGUGAUACUAAGAAUCAUUCUGGGCACAUUAUAAUUAUAUCGACAGAGGGAUCCUCCAUGGAGGAAGCACUCAAGACAAGUUUCCACCACUCCAUGGCCCGUAUUUCUUGAGAAGCCACAUUUUUUGCAAGCCCUUGUGGGUCCGGCUUUUGGGCCUACGAAGUGAAUGACUUUCCCAUCGCCUAUAUAUAUUCCUGCCAUAAAUUAAGCAUAUAUUAUUGAUAAAAAUUGUUGGAGUCUGGAACAAAUUAAUUGACGAGAGAAGUGUCAGAGUGAAAAGAAGAACUGACCAUGGUGGGUGUACAAAGGCCGAUGCACAUAGAUAUGGAGACCCUCUGGUAUGAGUCUAAUAUCCCAACCAGCAAUGCCAUGCUCGACCUGUAAUAUUGGGGGAACUUCUUCUUCUACUAUCAUCUCUCCAGCUUAACUAUUUCUUUCAAGCUGAAUAUUUCGGUGAGGGUGCCGUCUUCAUAUAUAUUGUGGCUUUUAAGGAUGUGAUAUUGUUGCCUUUUGAUUCUUGCCAGCCUACAAGGCCGGGCCCUAUGUGUUCUUUGGAUACCAUUGCACAUGCGAUUUUAUGGGUUUUUCCUUUUUUAUAAUAAAUAUGAGUGUCUGGGCCAGCUUAAAUACACCUCGAUUAAUCCCACGAGCCUUGAAAUUAACGACCAUGUAAAUCUCCAAUAACCCUGAGGUUUGUGAGAUUCGAACUAUGGAUUUAUGGGUUUUUAUGAGUUUCUUUUUAUGGGUUUUUCCCUUCAUCUUUUCUCAGAUGCCAAAUGGAGAUUAAAAUGCCAGAAUAUAUAGACCUGAAUGUGAUACCUCACCUACGUGAUAUUAGAUACAUUUCUCUUGACAUUUUCAAAAUAAAAAAAAAAAACCUGAAGGGACCCUCAACAACUCUGGAGUAAGGCUUCUGCGCCUUCAAUUUGUCGUGCGAAGAGCCUAUUGACAUUUUGAGAUUGCAUUAAUUACUUUGUAAUAAAUUUUUUUUUAGUUUAACGCGGGUGUCCGAGCCAGCUUGCGUGCAUCUCGACUAAUCUCACGGGCCCUGAAGUUAACGACCAUGUAAGCCUCCAGUGGUCAUCAAAGGAAUCAAUUAUUGCUGCAACCCAACGCUAUUUCUGUAUGGUUUUUGGUGCGAACCAGACUGUAGCUGACAACUAUUCUUCAUAUCAGAUUGUCAAACAAAAUUUCGAAUAUUUAAGUAGGAAUAACUUUGUAUAAUUUCUUUAGAUAUGACUUAUAUCUUUAGACCGCACUGUAUUGCUGUUCAAAUCAAUUUAUUUUUUAAAGUAAAAAUAUAUUACGGGUUGCAAACUUAUUUUCUAGGAGAAGAAAAUUUUAAAUAUUGUAAGAGUUGAUAUGAUAUGAUCUUGUUAACUUGAUAAAUUUAAAAACAACCUGAAUGAUUGUUAAAACCCGUAACCCGGAUCAUGUGAUGGUGAUAAGUGAUAACUCCAUAAAAAGUAAGUCAAAAAAAAUUAUAAAGUUCAAUUCUUAAUUAAUCCAAUAUUGAAGGAUAAACAAAAGAUACAAAAAAAUAACUCGAGUCAAUCCGAGUUCACCUACCAAACCCGUGAUCCAAGUAAUAAGAUCAGAAUAACCACACAGAAAAUAAAAUGAAAAUCUAAUUCCAAAUCAAUCAAAAGUUAAAGGAUAAAACUAAAAAAAUAAAAUCAACUUAAAAAAAAUAUCAAGUUAACCAGUUAAAUUUACGACUUAAAUUAUUAAAACAAGAUAAACAAAUUUAUUAAAAAUUAAAAUUAAUUUUUUUAAGUUAACAGUUCUUUGUGAUUUCUUUGCGACGAGGGAAUCAUUGAAUUUCCCUCCUCCAUUUGUUUAUGUCGAUGUAUCAUAAAAUUCUUCUCACACUUGGAUUGAGAGUCCACUCUUAUUUAAAAAAUAUUAGAUUAAUUUUGAGUUUUUGUAUUAUCUAAAUCUGUUUUUAUUUCUUUUGUAACUUAGUUGAGUGUGACUCUUUAAUUUUUUUUAUUCAAAUUUUUUAUUCAUUUUUUUAGUGUUUUUUCCAAAUAAAUGUGGAUAAAGGAUGCUGUGGGCUUUUUUUUUUUAAAAAAAAGAAAUCAUAUACAUGUUAUGUGACUUUUCUUAAAAUGUUAACUUUGAAAUAUUUCUUGAGACUUAUAAAACACACGUAAAAUGUCUCGUAUUGCAGGAUGAUCUGAUAUAAUUAUCUAGUUAUUUAUAAAUAAGAAAAAUCUUCUUUCAAUUUGACCAUCCCAAUUCUUUUUAUAUUUAAAUAUGAGUAUAUCAAGUCUUAAUCUAUUCAAGAUUUAAAUUAUAUAUACAUAUAUAGAAUAAUUCAUGUAUUUUCAAUUAUUUCCUUCUUAAAUCAAAUUCAUUUUAUAUCACGUCUAUAUAUAUAUGUUGUCAUAAAGAUAAAGAAACAACAAAAAAUCUAAUAAUAUGCUUACAUGUAAUAUAGUUUACAUUUGAAGUAUUUAUUCAAUUGAAAAUCUUGGUUUUUCUCUUAAAGAAAAAUUUAAAGAUUAUGUAACAUGAUUUGAUAAUUUUAUUGAGAAAGAACCUAAGUGAAAAAUAAUAAUAAGGGUGUAAAUGAUAUAUAAUCUAACUGAUAUAUUAUUGUAAAUUCUUAAACAACUUUAGUAACCUUGAUAAGAAUUGUUUUCAUAUCCCACAUAUUUCUUUCCUUUAUUUUCCCAGGUUAGCUGCAAAUAAAAAAACAUAUUAAAUAUAUAUAUAUCUUAAACUAUAGCUCAUAAUAUUAAUUCAAUUUGUUUAAACUAAAUUCUUUGUUAUUUUUUAAUGUAUUUGAAAAAACAUCAGAGUUUUAAUAAUUUUUACAAUACUUAAAAAAUGAAGACAAUUCAAAAUUUCUCGACAAUUAAAACUCAAGGUAUGAUUUUUGAAAAAUUAAGAAGAUCCUUAGCCAUUAAGAUUUUGAUAAAAUAAAAAUUUAAUGAAAUAAAAAAGGCAACUUGAUACCUAGUUUUAUCUAUAAAGUUGGAAACUUGAUACCUAGUCAUCCCAUAAAGUAAUAAAUACUAACAUAGAGUAUGGGUUUUUCUUUGCAAUAAAAUUGGGAUAGACCGUGAAAGAUAAUGCGAAACAUAAAUAAUACUCAAUCAUGACACAGAAUUAAACCAUCUAUAGACCGUGAAAUCAUGCUAGCUAUGAGGUUUCCAAGUUACCAUUGCUAAAACCAUGCCAGGAAAAAAAAAAAAAAAAAAAAAUGGCCAUCUUAUAUCCCAUGUAAUGACGGGCUACACGUUGAUAGUUUCCCAGCCUGUGCCUUUCUCCAUUUGUGUCUUCACUUUCAUAUCUCCAGUGGCUCAUCAUGCUCUCUCGAAACCAUGUAGCCCAAUCAAUAACUAGUUUCAAAUAAUUUACUUGGUUGAAGCACAAACACACAAGGCCCCGACCCGGCCAAUAUUUACAACGCACUCGAGAGAAAAUUAUCACACGUUAUUGGCACUAGCAGUAACAUUAUCCUAGUUCCGCUUAUGGAAUCCUCCUCCCCAUUUUGUGAUUAGGAAACCAAAAGAGAAACAAGAAUCUUGCUACUUCACAAUUGAAUUUCCUAAACACAUUAAAUUUUUCAUGGAAAUAGAUCAACCAAGACCAAUUAUUUGAAAUCAAAUGGAGUAUAAGCUGGCCAUGACCAUCCAAACUCUCAUUCAAGACAUUCAUCCAAGACAAUAUUAUCAAAUAAUAUAAUGCUUUCUAAGUCAGCAUGUUGAGUUUAGUACCCCUUACCUCAUGAAGAUCCGUUGACUUGUGAGAAUUCAGCAUCAGCUUUCGAAUUGACUCAUCAACACUCUGAAUAAGCAACAUCAAAACACAAGUACAAACUACAUUUUAACUAUUCAAGAAUUAAGCCCAACAGCCUUGUCGAUGGAGACAACUCCAGAAGAUAUUGAAUCAAAAUGCAAUAAUAUUAGAAUGAAAGACGUGGUAAAUGCUAUCUGUAGCUGUAAUGAAUAUACGAGAGAUGAUGUUUAUAGAUGUUGAAAUCACCGAGUAUAUCUUGUAACAAAUCAUAUUCCGUAAAUCGAUUGUUAAAGUGAUUUUUUAUGGCAAUGAUCAGGAGGAGACUCGGAAAAAGGAAAUAGAGAUAAAGAAAUGAUUACAUACAAAAUGCUAUCCUACAUAACUAGCCCAAGCCUCUGCAUAUCUAGAAAAAUCGAAGAGAUUAUUAUAACUUACUUCCUUGCAUAUCAUCUUCAUUAUAUGAUUGCAGUUUGGUUUGUCUGCAUUAAGUUUUAUUAAGAGUAUCAAUCUUCCUCCACUUUUGGUUCCUAUGUCAAGCCCUCAUGCAAGUUAAAGAAUGUGAAAUAAAUGUGUGCGAGGCUAGAGUGAAAGCAGGCACAAGCAUAUAAUUUUUUUGUGCAACUUGAAGGUUCACACCAGACUAAAAAAAGAUUAUUUUCUUUUCGUUAUAACAGGAGGAUUAAGUUCAUUUAUCAUCACAUGCAUGAAUCAUUACUGAGUUUCAGGUUCAUUUUCCAUGUCAGUGUCUUUGCAGCAUGUCUUCCAAAUAAAAUUGAACUGCGAUCCAUGAUUUGAGAUAUCAACACCACAUUCUUUUUCAAUAUAAAGAUGAUUGCAAAAUCACAAAACAAUGAUGAUCAAAUGGAUUGAAGAAAGCAAAAGAAAUUACACAUCUUUUAGCAUUCAAUAUGUGUUGCUCAUUAACAUCCCAAUCAAUAACUUGAGUCUCCCAAACAGUGAAAUUUGUGUAUUAUAUUGGCUGGUUAUUUGAUUUUUCAUUGCCUAAAGAAAGCAGAAAGUAUUCAUUAUUAUUUUUUUCAGAAUCGAAUAAGAUUCUAAAAGUUGCUCAGAUGAUUAACAAAAGCUACCCAAAUUGCAUUGCAUUCUACAAAGAAAUUUAUUCAUAGGUAACAUUUUCUGACCCAAGCUUUAGUUUUCUCUAAAUUAAUCUUCAAAGUCCAUUUCUCUAAGUCUUUCUUACUUGUUGGCUACGAUAUUAAAGUGCCAAAGGAACAUAAAUUUAGAAUCAUGUGAUCAGUCUCAAUAUGUAAGUUAUGAAUAACUAAAUCAAGGCACAUGAACCUUUCAUUUCAAUGUGCUUUUUUAUCCAACCAUGCUCAUAAAUCAGAAAAGAAACUAAAGGUGCCUACAAAGUUUUCCUUUUUUAUCAACUUUGAAACCAAUAUUAUCAUGAAUAAGCUGUCCGUGAUCCAAGCUAUUUGAAUGGAGAAACAAGAUAUUGCUACUAUACAAGAAUUGGAUUACCUAAAGAUGUUGCGUACAUGGAAAUAGAUCAACCAAGACCAAUUAUUUGAAACGAAAGGGAAUACAAGUUGGCCAUGAUCAUCCAAACUUUCAUUCAAUUCAUUCAAGACAUUAUUAUCAAAUGAUAUGAUGCUAUAAGUCAGCAAGUUAAGUUCAGCACCCCUUACUGCAAGAGGAUCUAUUGACUUGUGAGAAUAUAGCACCAACUUUCUAAUUGACCAAUCAAUACCAGGUAUGAUGGUGGGAAAAGAAAAGCAAGAAAAAAUAACAAGUGUGAAUUGAUACACCGAGAAGAUCCUCCAGGGUCUUGAGAAAAAAUCCCAAGUUUUUAGCUUAAGAUUGCAUUGUUCUUUUCUAAUUUAUUGUUUUUAAUUUGUCUUGUUGCUUGGUCAUAAGUGGUUAGUCACCUCCAGAAUAAUAGCUAAGUCAUGGUCUUGACUAGCUGAAGUCUAGAGUCAGUUUAGCUAUUUAGUUGAUGUAAAGAAACUCUAUUUAAGGAAUUCAUUUGGAAUACCAGGGGGACGUGAAGAAUUUUAUUCAAACUUGUGGUUGUCUUUCACCCAAAGAAAGUCAAGUUACUAUGUGUUUUUCAUUUUGAUCUGACAGAGACCUAUCAUGAAUGUUAACAAAAAUAAGGGAAAACAAAUUACAGAUAUGAAAAAUGAGGAUUGCAAUGACACCACCGAGUAUACAUGGAAAUAAAUCAUAUGCUGUUCAAUUCAUGGUGAUUUCUAUCCAAAACAUUUAUUUCUCAAGUGAGUUGGUUAAUGGUGUGAGCUAGGUGGCUUUAACAAAAGGAAAAACAUUUCUGGUAGCAAAUUGGAUUAUUGUAGCAGAUUUCUUGAACCCAACCUUGUCUGUCUACUGUCUUCUUUAAAGCAGCAAACAUACGCAACAAGAUUACGAUGAAUUUUUUCAUAUGAAACGAAAGCGCAAUAUACCUAUAGAACAUAAUUUUGAAAACUCUGAAACAAGAAUUAUUACGUAGGUUGUUACUUGAGCUGAAAAUUUGAUUACUAAACCAAAUAUAUACAACAUGCCUGAAAGGAAAUAAAUAGGAAAUUGGGGAAGAACCUGAAGGCGGUUGUCAUGUUCCUGCACAAGUAGGCAUUUUUCACCAAAUUCAAAAAAUCACUAAGCAUGAAAGAAACAGAAAGCAUAUCCAUUUACAGAAUUCUAAAACUACAUACAAAGUUUGAAAAUUAGAGUGAAACAAGACUAAACCUAUGAUUUUAGGAAUUCAUGACCAGGAGUCUUUUUUUAAAAAUAUAAAGCAUGAAAGAAGAGAAGCACAGAGGAUCAGACACUCAUUCAAGAAAUAUAAAAACAAAAAAUAUAUUAAAAUGUAGUAAUUAUGGUUCGUUGCCUGAAUUGCAGUUUCUGUCUCUAAGAUAAUCUAACUUUUUUUCCUUUCCACGAAUUUCUUUUUUGUGUGUUCAAAAAAAUAAAUUAAACUUAGAUUAAAGAUAUAGAUAUAAAAAUGGCAAUUUUUUUUUUUUUUUGAAAAUCAUGUGGCAAAUUACUGGUACAGAUUUUUUUAAGACAAAAAAAAAAUAGAGGAUAAAAUAAAAUUAACAAAGAAAAUCUAAUUAAAACUGGAAAUUAAACAAAAACAAUAAUAAUCCUUAAAUUGAACAGAAACAAAACAUACCUAUAAAAAGAUGAUUUCAAGAGCACGAAUUAUUAUACCUUAAAAGUGAAACUGGAUGAGAAAUAUUUCUCUUCAUGCUCUGCUUUAAGACACAGUUAGGGUUUGUUUGAGAGAGAGAGGUUUUCUUGAAGGAUUUAUUUUAGAGAAAUUUGAAAGCAAAAAUCGAAGACAGUGAGAGGGAUUUGUGUGUUUUAUAUAGAGGAGUGGUUUAUCAAUUUUUUUCGACCGUUGGAAGGGUAGGGAUUGGGUUUCCUUCAAAACGGCGUGGGCUUACAAGAUCAAGUUAUAUCAUAAGAAAGGCCCAUUCCUACAAAGCCCAUAAAAGGCAAUUGAAUGGACUCUCCUGUCUCCCACUUUAUAAUCAAGACUUUCUCUCUCGUAAUUAAGGCACAUUUUAACUUCAUCCUUUAAAUAUUAUAACUUAAAAAGAUUUGGAUAAAUUACAAUUACUAUUUUGAAGUGUUUCGAAAUUACAGAACUCACUCAAAAGUUUGAAGAUUUGAUUAAAAAAAAAAAAACACAUUACAAAAACAUCCUCUUUUUUUUUAUCCAAAAUGCCUUUGAUUACUAUUUUUUUAAAAUAAUUAACUGAGGAAUUUUAAAAAAUAUAGAAAGAAUAAAAAAAAUCAGACAUUAUUUUUUAGGACAUAAAUAAUUUUAAUUUGCUUUUUUGUUUUGAGUUUUCUUUUUUCUAUUUUUUAAAAUUAAUUAUUGUUUUUAUAAAUAAUAUCAAGGACAUCUUGAGGAUAAUAUGGAGUUCCUGACAAAUCUUCAAACUUUUGGAUGGUUCCUAUAAUUUCAUUAUAUCUUAGAGGGAUUGUUCAAUUUAUCCCAUAAAAUUUAUUAAAGACACAAUGAGACAUUUACAAUUUAAAUUAAGAUACCAAAUUCGAAUAGGUUGUCAUUGUAGUCAAAGAGGUGUUCUUCCUCCCUUGACUUCCUGAGUUUGAAUCUCUGAGCGAGGUCCUUGAUAAAUUUAUUUCCUCUAAAUGCAUCAAGCUGAUGUGGAAGGUGGGUUCUUAAGAUCAUAUGAUAAAGGGACUUAAUCUCGAUUAAAGCAUAAACUAGUCUAAGGACAUCCCACAAUUGAAGUGUUUGUUCUUCACCUUGACAUUGUGAUAUUGAGUUGUCUUUUUUCAGGAAACCUCAUUUCUCACUAAAACCGUUGGUUAGGUUUUUCUGGCAAAUCCAUGUUCGCCCUGAGUUUUUCUUCUUUCCUCUCAGCACAAUCGAUCUCUAUUAUUAGCAUUUUCUCUAUUCUAUAAAAGUGAGGAGAAAUGAAGUCUCUGUUAUGGAGGACUUCAGCACCGAGAAACUAAAACCAUGUGAAUUCACAUGAACAGGGAAAUCAAGAUGGGAUUCAGAAUUCUUUUUAAUUUCAAUUUUAACAAGGAAACAUCAGACCGGAAAAAAUACACAUUUCUGCCACCCAAAAGAGUACGAACAACCGAUUUCUGUUUUCUUUUCCCACUUUCCGUGCGGCGGGUUUGCAAGCCUUGUUCAAACAAAGAUUUCAGAUUGAUCUUCCCAGAAGGCUGUCACAGUUUCAUAGAGUUUAGAUGAGAGUUCCAAAAUACAAUAAAAAAUAAGAAUCAUUAGCUAGAUAAAUAAUCGCCAGCUCAAGCUCAGGCAAAAUGUACUAUACAUAAUAGCGUUAGAAAACAUAACUAACUCAACUAAAUAAGGAGGAAAUUAAAAAUUACAUGACACCAGAAUCGCUAUCUUGAUAUUGAAGGCUACAAUUACCCACCAUAUUGUACUUUUGAGGUAAACAUACAAUACGAUGAUAGCUGGCGAUAAGCUUAAUCUAACAACUAUCACAGACUACAAAGAAAAAAAGCAGCAGCUAAAGUACUUUUGCACAGGAGUGGCGUACCCAAAUACAGAAAAAAUCACCAUAGUCAGUCACAAAUUAGAUGGGUGCUGCACAUGUUGUUCUAAAAUGACCUGUCUGAUUGCAACGGCUACAAUGCACAACUCGCUUCAUGCGGCCACGAUCUUCUGCUCGUACUCGCUUCUUUCUUGGACGACCGGGUGGCCUAAGUGAUUUGGGUGGAUUGAUGAUAACCUCAACAUUCUUGUUGGAAUCUGGAUCUCCCUCAGAAAACUCAAUCCAGAGACUUUUAUCGGGAAUUGGAUGAAUGGUUUGUGAAUAAGUCUUUCGAUAGGUUGCAACAGUGAAACAGCUCUCCGUGAACCGAUGCACAUUCUGCCUGCAAGAGAGAAGUGCUGCCACAGCAUGUGCACAAGGUAAACCAUAUAGCUGCCAGCCCCGACAAAGGCAACAGCGGUUCCGAAUGUCCACAAUAUUUGUUCCUUCAUGAGAUAUAACUUCAAAUUCAGCUUCAUUAGCACGAAGCACCUGAUAAGUGCGUGCACGCUCCAACGCCUCUGCAACACGCCUCUCAGCAGAAGGCACGAGUAUUGAUGUCCACUGCAUACUGGUCUCUCGGCGUUCAUUGAACCAGGUCAUUAGUUGCCUCCUAAUGCAUUCCACCAUCUGAAUUAUUGGAAGCCCAGAUGCUUCCAAAAUCCAUGUAUUCAAUGAUUCAACUAUAUUAGCUGUCAAAUGUCCAAAUCGAGUACCUUCAAAAUAUGCAGUAGCCCACAACCGAGGGGGGAUUCUCCGUAUCCAAUAUGCAGCAUCUUGUGAUACCUCCUCAAUUUCCAGAAUUUUUGCCUCAAAUUCAAUCACAGUUAGAGCAUGAGCAGCUUCCCAUAGAAGGUUGACAAGCAUUGUGUUAUUGAACUCUUUGCGGAAGCUUUCACUCAAGUGACGCAUGCAAAAUCCAUGAAAAGCAGUCGGAAAAUUUGCUUCCACUCCAUCUACAAUGCCCUUCUGCCUGUCUGACAAAAUUGUAAGCCUCGGCAUGUUUUCUGUAUUAAUCUCAAGGAGGUUAUGAAGCUCAGACAGAAACCACAUCCAAUUCUCAUCAUUCUCUUCAUCAACGACACCAAAUGCCAAGGGAAAAAGAGCUCCAUCCCCAUCAAAGCCAGUAGCAAGAAAUAAAGUACCAAGGUACUUGCUUUUCAAAAAUGUUCUAUCAAGGCCAAGGAGAGGCCGACAGGCAUUCAGAAAACCAUAAAUCGAUGCCUGAAAUGAUAUGAAGAGAUGCUGGAAGCAAUUAUCUGUUGGGUUUCCAUAAACAGAUGCAAUACUCCCAGGAUUUGUCCGUUUAACCUGGUCACAAUACUGGGGAAGCAAGCGAUACCCUUCUUCAAAGGAUCCACGCAUAGCAGCCAUGAUGCGUUCCUUGCCUCUCCAUGCUUGCUUAUAUGAUAAAGUGAUACCAUGUACCCGGUGAAUCUCUUCUAAUAUCUCCUUUGGCCUGUAAUUAGGAUUCUCCUUAAGCCGUUGCUCCACAGAGUUUGCAACCCAUUGGACUGAAGCUUGUUGAUGGCCAAGAUGAGAAAUUCCUCCACAUGUAUGAGACUCAUGGAUGGUCCUGAUUGUGAAAGUUGGAACACCUGGGAGCUUUGCUGCAUGUAUGCGCCAGGGACAUCCCUCAGUUGCACAUUUAGCUGUGAAACGAGUCUUGUCAGAUUUUAUUGUCUGCAUUUCAAAGUGAAGGGCAAUCGCUGUAUCCCUCAAUGCCCUGCGGCAGCUGAAGACAUCUGGAAACUCUUGCCCCACUGCCAGCUCAAAGUUAGGAGCUAUAGAAAGAGUACGGGCCUGAAUAACAGGACUAUAUAGUAUGAGCUGGGACUGCUCAAUAGUCAAAUCCUGAGCAGGUUCCAAUCCCAUUUCCUGCUCCUCGACCACAGUUAGUUCCAGGUUGUCAUCAAGUUCUUGGUUUUCUGAAACAACCAAUUCAUUGUUCUCUGAUAAAGCUAACUCAUGGUUCUGAGCAGAAAGAGCCAGUUCAUGGUCUCCCUGUCCAGGUUUUCGAUCCAUACCUAAAUCAUUCUCAUGCCCAUAACUGUGACCAGCUUCCCCUUCAUCAUCCUGGCUCUGUCCCAAACCCAAUUCAUGGUCAUGAUGAUGUCCUAAAUCCAGUUCAUGAUCAUGUCCCAUACCUAAAUGAUGUUCAUGUGUUUGCCCCAGUUCUACAUCAUGGUUCUGGCCUAGACCCAAAUUGUGAUCAUGGCCUAAGACCAACUGUUGAUUCUGCCUGAGCCCUAAAUUGUGACUUUGCCCAAGUAUCAAGUCAUGGUUAGCCAUUGAAUCUAUCACUCGCAAUAUAUCAGCUGCAACAAAUCAGCGCCUGGAACAAACUAUCAAUUUCAAGUUGAUAUGGUACCCAUAGCAUCAGUGCAAACCUGUCGAGCAAACAAAACUGUAAAUUGAAGAGUCCUUCCAGAUCUUUCACAUCCAUACUCAAAGCUUUAAUAAAAACAUGACUUCACAACAAAAGCACAGAUAAAAAGAUGCAAACACAAGAACAUGCAAAAAUGUGAAAUCCACCCUUGAAUAUGUAACCCCCCCCCCCCCCCCACCACCACACACACAACAAAUGAGCUAUUUAAAAAGACUGUGUCACCCUUUUAUCCCUUCUAGGAAAAUUGCAAUUGCAGACAAAAUACGAAAAGGAAACUAUUUUGUUUCUCCUGUAGAUAAUUAGAUGCUCGGGGACCAUCAUACAUACACACACACGCCAAAGGAACAAACCACCCGAAACUACAGUCCCCUCUUUCUUACAUCCACAGUUUCUAGGCACCAAAACAGCACACAGGAAACCAAGUUUGCGAGGUUUCUGAGAAAAGGAAUAAUUCAAUUAUCUCAAGAAAUAAAUUAAAGAACCCAGAAACAUUAUAAAACAAAAACAAAACUCGAAAUUUAGUCAGAAAUCAUGUCCCAUUGUGAAAGAAGAAAACAGCACUCGUCAUUUACACAUUCCCUUCCGCAACUAUUCAACAACAAUAAUAACUUCAAACAAAAACCAAAAAAUACUCAUCAGUUAAAACACUCACAGGCACAUAAUUGAGACUAAAAAUACAAAACCAAAGAACACACUGGAAAAAAACCCUCACUUGAAACAGAGAUCGUACCAGGACAAGGAAAAAAACAACCUUGACAUAGCAAAACAAUCCAAAAACAAGAACUGGGUUUUGCUCAAAACUACAUGAAACAUAAUCCCAAGCAAUUACUUCAAAAGAAAAACUACCUAAAACCAUAACAUCACAAAAAAAGUCAACCAAAACCCUAGCUCAAAAGCAAAACAAUAUAAUCGGAACCCAGAAAAGAAAAACCAACCUUGAAUAUAAACAUGGAAAAAUAUGAAGUGGGAAUCGAUCAAAAUCUGAACUUGUCAAUUGUAGACACUGGUACAAGUAAAGAUCGAACCCAAAAAUAAAAUUAGGGUUCUCUGUCUGUAAUUAUGUGUUCGGAGAGAAAAAAAAUGGAGAAGGAGAAUUUGAAAAAAGGCGGGUAAGGGAGCAGGGAGAGAUCGGGAAAAAUAAAACAAAGGGAGAGUAGAAGGGCAAGGAGGAGAGAAGGGCGAGAUUGGGAAAAUAGAGAGAAGGGCAGAAGAGGGAGUGUAGGGUUUGUAAGGGCUGAGAAGGGAAAUACAGAGCUGGAUGAUAAGAGACAGACGGGGUAUUUGUGUCAAUGAAAUUUUUAAGGGUGUUUUUUCCUUUGGGUUUUUUGGAAUUAAUGUUUUUUCCUUGGGAAUUUUAUAAUUGCGGCUUCAUGGGGGCAAUGUAUCCAUUUUGCUUUGCUUUGUAUGAGAAAGUAAGACUGUCAACUAUCUUUGAUUUGGUUUUUUACAUUUUUAGGACUCCCAAGCUUUGUGCCUUGAUGUUAGAGUAAAAUAGAACAUAGAUUGAUGCAUGUUUGAAAGUUUGAUAUUAUUUUUUAUUUUAGUACAUCAAAUUUAAAAAAAUAAAAAAAAUUAAUUUAAAAAAUUUAAAAAUUUUUAGAAAUUCUGUUCGACCGCACUCCCAAACACACUCUAAAUGUAUGUGAUGACCAAGAUGAAAUUUUAAAAAAUUUAUUAAACUAUUUAUUUUUAUACUAGUAUUCUUAUAUUUGUUUAUAUUUAUUUUAAUCAUAAUAUCAAACUAUUAUUUCAAUUUCUAACUAUGCUUAUAAAUAAAUUAGUAAGAAUAUAUUAUGUAUGUUUUGAGAAUCAAACAUACUAACUUUAUUAUAAUUAUCAAACUUUAUACAAAAUAAAUUUAAAUUUUAAAAUCCAAACAUUUUAAUUUAAUAAAUUUUCAAAUUUAUUCAUUUAUACAUAAUUCAAAACAACCUAUUAGAUUAAAGAAAAAUACAACAAAAUAAUUUAAUAAUACAGAUAUGAAACAUGUACCAAGAAAACUAGAAUGUUAACAACCAAACAGAAAAUAAACCCUGGCUUGGAAAGUGUCUUAAAUUCGAUCCGUUGUAUAUAACUUUUUUCAUGAAUUAGUAUCGGGUUUUUAUCAAUUUUCAUAUAUAUAUAUAUAUAUAUAUAUAUAUAUAUAUAUAUUUUAUUAACGUGGGUGUUCGGGCCAGUUUGCGCGCAUUUCGAUUAAUUUCACGGGCUCUAAAAUUAACGAGCAUAUAAACCUCCAAUAAUUAUCAUAUUAGCAAUCAUAGAGCUCAAACUUGAAAACACAUAUAAAACAAACCUCGAUAAUUUUCAUAUUUCUUUGAACCUAGAAAUGGAUGUGUAUAUUAGUUAAUUAGGUUUCAUAUCCCAUAACGGAAAAUUACUAAGAGUUGUAAGUGGAAGAUAUAAUUUUUCUUAUAAUAUUUUAAUAUUUUUUCUAUUUAUAGAAUUAAUAUUUUAUGUCAAAACUUGAGUGUUCUUGAACGAUUGAAGAAUAUUUUUUCACAUACAGUGAGAUUGAUCGAAACUGUUACUUUUGUGUCAAUAGAAUCGUAUGCUUGAAUAACUAAAUUAAAAUUCGAAAUUAUUUCAAAUCAUAUCAGUUUCCUCUAAUAUAUUACAACAUUGUAAUGUCAAGAAUUAAAGAAAGAAUAAAAUAGAAUAACCGAUAGUUUACUCAAAAAAUUAUUUAAACUAUGAUUAUAAAAUCCCUUUCUCUAAUAAAUCAUCAGGCAUCAAUCGACUUAAUGAGCACAAUGAGAAAGAGAGAAUAUGGGCUUAAAGCUGAGCUUAAUGAAGUAGAUAAAAGGGUUGCAAACCAAGUUCAAGAAGAGAAAAUAUGGGUUGAAACUCCAGCCCAACAGCAAAGUGGCAAAACAUGAGCAAAAAAAAUCAAAACAUGAGCAAAAAUGCAAUUGUUUUUGGAUUAUUCUCUAAAAUUAUCCUUUUCCUUGUAAAACAUAAAAAUAACAAAACAAAAUCAAUAAUAAAAAGAAGACCGAUGAUUUGGCAAAAGCUGGCUGGGAAAGGUUCAAGUUGAAGUUUUGGAUAAAAUUUGAAGUCUAAUCAUAUCACAUUGUACCCAAGAUUAAAGAGACAAUGAAUAUUUAAGGUCAAAUCAAAUGAUUUUUGGACGGAUUUGAAUAAAAAUAAAGUCCAGGAACAUAAUUAGAUUUAUUUUUAGUAGGUCAAUUUGAUUUAAUCAUGGACCAAAUUAAACGUUUAAUUAUGUUUAAGAAUUAAUUUGGAUCCAAUUAAAAGAUUUAAUUAGGUGCAAGGACUUAAUUAUACUUUUAAUGAGUCAAAUUAAUUUUAUUAAGGACUUAAUUGGUGAAAAAUUAAGUUUGGGGGUCUAAUUUGGAUUUAAUUGAGAAGAUUGAAAUUUUAGAGGAUCAAAUUUAAUUUUUACAAAAUCAAUUGCUUGAAAUCAGGGGUAAAAUUAUAAGAAAAUAAAAGUUUAUGAUUAAUUUGAGGUUAAAUUGAAGAAAUUAAUAGCCAAUAAUUUAUAUGGAAAAGGCGUUGAAUUCUAGGAACUCAAUUUGGUUAAAGACAAGGGUGAAAUUGAAGAAAAAAUAAAGUUUAAUAGUCAAUUGAGGGUUAAUUUGCAUAAAUCUAAGAUUAAUGAUCAAAAUGAAAAGGCUUUGAAAUUCAGGGCUGAUGUUGAAGUUCAGUAGGGGAAAAUUGCAUAAAAUUAGAAGUUCGAGGUCAAUUAGGGAUGCAAUUGAAAGCCGAAGGACUAAAUUGAACUUUAAUCAAAUCCUAAAUUAAAACCCUAAAGCCAAAAUGGAGUCAUUUUGACCAUUAAAAAAAAACCAAACGACAAGUCGUCUGAUUACUAUUCAUCUUCUUUUUCUUUUUGCCUGAAAAUGUUGCUUGGAUGGUUCCUUUUUCAGAGAAUUUAAUACUUCAUCUCUCAACGAAAUUGAAUAAACCCUACACCACUAUGAUGGCCUGAUAUUGUAUUACACCCCAAAAUAGGUCUCGCCGACUGAUUGCCUUUAUAGUAGUUGCAACGCCGCCCCAAAGUGGCCAACUCGGUCUUUUAGCAGCACAUUUUCACAGACUAUGAUGACACCUUUGAGCUAAUAGUUGGAACCCUUCCCACUUGAAUGAAGGGCCAAUACUUGUCUCCGAUGAAGAUAAAAUAUCUCUCUUCCACCCCUUAUUAAUAGGGGUGGGUUCUAGGCAUUCGAGGAGAAGUAAUUCGAGUCUAAAAUAGGCAAAAAAACCAGCCUUUCCCCCUGGUUUUUCACCGGCCAAACUUUCCUCUAUUCCUUUGCCAUGCCUUCUUAAUCGUUGCCACUAUCAACCAUAUGUUGGUCUUCCCAUCACCACCAACUAGCCAUUCCCCAUGCCAAGUAAUCUUCUUUUUCCCUGUUGGUUGCAAAAAUUGCAGUCAUUUGCAUGCAUAACGAGAACCUGUUCUGUAUGUAAAAUAUAAAAUAACUAACAAGGUCGUUGGGUUAGGCCAGUGAUCAUGUGGGCCUUGGUUGAGCCCGUUUUAGCCCAUCUCAGAUGGUUGGGUAAGGUUUAACCCAAAAAAAGAAAAAGAAAAGGAAGAAGAAAGGUUGUUCGACUAUCAGUUAGCCCAACCCAUCUGGGUUGAACCUAUUUUAGCCCAACCCAAUGUUCAUUUUUAUUUUAAAAAAAAGAGAUGGGUCUAUUAGGCCGUCAGUCGCCCCAACCCGACUUGAUUGGGUUCAGUUCAGAUGGCUUGAUCAGGUCUAGCCCACUUAUAAAUAAAUAAAUAAUAUAUAUAAUAAUAUUUAAAAAUUUUCAAUUUUUUCAAAAAGAAAUUUUAAAAAUAUUCGUGGAUCCCUCACAUGUUUUUUUAAUAAUUUUACAUGAUAUCGAGUUGUAAAGUUACAUUAUAAAAUAUAGACUCGGUAUUAAAAGUACCCGAUUUCCUCUUAAACUUAAAAAAAAUCUAAAAAAAUCCAGAAAUUCAAAAAUAAACUUUCAUUUCAAAAAAAAAAAAAUUGUGUUUGGUUUCCAUGUAUACAGUCAAGCCCUAAAGGUUUUUCAUGCAUAUUUUCUAAAAUAAAAAGAUAAAACCACCUUUUUAUCAUGUUUGAAAAAAAAAUACAAAAAUGGAUAUCGUAACCGAUUUAUGAUUAUCCAUUAGGGUUUGAUCAAAAUAUAAAAAUCUUAUUAUAAUUAGUUGAGAGGUCUGUUAGGUCGUCAGUCGCCCCAACCCGACUUGACUGGGUUCAGCCCAGAUGGUUGGGUCAGGUCUAGCCCACUUAUAAAUAAAUAAAUAAUAUAUAUAAUAAUAUUUAAAAAAAAUUCAAUUUUUUCAAAAAGAAAAUUUAAAAAUAUUUGUGGAUCCCUCACAUGUUUUUCCAAUAAUUUUGCAUAAUAUCGAGUUGUAGACUUACAUUGUAAAAUACAGACCUGGUAUUAAAAGCACUCAGUUUCCUCUUAAAAUUAAAAAAAUCUAAAAAAUCCUGAAAUUCAAAAAUAAACUUUCAUUUCAAAAAACAAAAAAACUGUGUUUGUUUCCAUGCAUAUAGUCAAGUUCUAAAUGUUUUUCAUGCAUAUUUUCUACUAUAAAAAGAUAAAACCACCUUUUUAUCAUGUUUGAAAAAAUAUAAAAAUGAAUAUCGUAACCGGUUUAUGAUUAUCCAUUAGGGUUUGACAAAAAUACAAAAAAUCCUAUUAUAAUUAGUUUGUCAUUUAGAAUGCUAUGUCUUAACUAUAUUCAAGAAAUAAAUAAGUUUGGAUCUUAGAAUGAUUAGAAUUACCUAAUAAGAUAGAGACUUCCUUACGAAGGGAGAUUUGCCUUGUAUUUUAGACAAGACCAACGGAUAUGAACACGAAUUAGAAUAACAAUUAAACGACAAUGCAACUUACCUUAGGUAAGGUGCACUGAGGGUGAUGUGUUUUUUCCUUGCACAAUCAGUCUGUUACUCGGACUCUUGCAGACCAUUAGGUUUCCUAGUGACCAUAACACUAGAUGACGACUCUGAACCUUAUAAUUAUAAUUUUAUGAUUAAACCUAAAAUCUAUUUUUCAAUAUAUUUAGGAAAUAGAUCCAUUAUUCGACGUUGUACACAUCACGAUGAUAAUAAUAAUUAAAAAAACUCCUUUUAAUUUCACUAUAAUGGAGUCCCAUGUGUGACACUUUUUUGCACUUUCAGGAUGAGAUUAAUAAUGUGAAAAAGAAAAAUGAAAAUGAAAAUGAAAAUGAUUCUUUACUUUUGAGUUGUUUUGAUUAAAACUUAUAAAUGAUUCUUUUUGAAAAACCCAAAAAGAAACCAAAGAAUUCUCUGCCAUUUGAUGUGAUAUUAUGUUGAGAUGGAUAAAGGGUUUAAUAACAAUAAAGGUAAAUGUGGUUCGGAUUUUUGUGAUAUUAAGUUUUAUGGUUCUACAAAAGAGCAAUAGGAUCCCUUAAUUAUAUGUAGAUAUAUUUUUUUCUUUAAUUUGGAGAAAAUUUAUCUCUUUGUCUAAUUCCAUCAAACUUAACAAUCACGUCAAACAUAUAAUAUAUUAUUGGAAUGAAAUAGGAGAAGGAUUAAUAACAUCAUCUUAAAUUCAAAAUAGAAAGGAUUCAAUCUCUUUUUAUGGAAAUCAUAGGGUUAGAUUGACUGAAAUCAAAAUUAUAAAAACCAUAUCAUUGACCAAUAAGUGUUUUGAGCUAUUGUGAAUUUUAAACCUUCUAAUUUUUAUUUAUUUUUAGAAAAUUGGAUAUAAUUUAGGUUAGCCACAUUUAGGAAGGAUUUGUAUUACACUUAUUUCAAGAUUAAAACUUAAGACACGUAGAUAAAUAUAACUAAUCAAAUAUAGAUAAUACAUAUAUGAGUAUUAUGACUAAUCGAAUAUAGAUAUUCUAUCUAAUAAGUUAGUGAUAAGACUCCCUUUUGAAAUACUAAAUAAAUAUUUAGUAUUUCAAAUCUUAUUUAUUCGGCUAGUUUUUUUUAUUCAACAAUAAUAAGUAUCGUAGAUGUUAGUUUAUUCGUUAAUCAAAAUUUUUUUUUUUGAGCAAUUUUAACCAUACCAACUCCAUGUAUUUAGAAGAAUAAAUUCAUUUAGAUGCUAAUAUUGAGUGUGAAGACAAACUCACAAAACCCUAGCUUUGAUGAGAUGGAGAAAAGACUUAAGGAAAGGAGUUAACAAAGGCUACAAUCAUGACUGCAGAUUAAUGGAGGAUUUGUGGUGAUUCAUGGGAAAAAAUCAUGGCUGGAAAUGGAAUGCGUGUUCCCCCAUCUUCAACUGUAAAUAGAAAUCAUUUGUAAGAGCAAAGGAGAGACAACUGAGUGGAGAAUGAAGGCAGAGAGAGUUUCCUUGGCAGUUGCUGCAAGCUAAAUGAGAGAGAUGAGAGUUGAAUUGAUUAAAUUAUUUCUCCUCCUCAAUUUAUAUAAUUUUUUUUAUUAAUAUGAGUGUCCGAACUAGCUUGCACAUAUUUUGACUAAUCCUAUAAAUUCUGAAGUUAAUGAUCAUAUAAACUUUCAGUGAUCUCGAGAGAACUCGAACUUAUAAAAACAAAUCUAAAACUUGACUAGUUGACUUACUCUCAGAAUUCACUUAUGUAAAUUCUUGUUCUAUGGAUACAGAGGGAAGUUGCCAAACCAUGCUUAGACUUUGCACACCUUUUUACAUGCUUCUCCGGAGACUUUGGAGCUUUUUUUGUUUUCGUUUACUUUUCUUUUACUCCAUGCAUAUCAAAUAAAUUGGAGGAUCACGUACGUGACAUCAUGAGAACCAGUAAAUUUUUUAGUAAUGUCUAGCACUAAAAGUCUAAAUAAAACAGUUUUGACAGUUAAUUUUCGCGGGAAUCUUUGCUGUUCUAUUUUAGUAGUAGUUGAUAAACCAAAAAAAAAAAAAAAGUGGUCUCUUUCAAAUCUUUUAAGCAGUCCUUUUCAAGUCUUUUUUUCAAAGGUCAAUGCUUUCGGUCUCUUGCCUCUCAUCAACAAAGCCGACUUUUAGCUUUUGGUCUGCUUGAAUAUCCUCUCUUGUCUUCUCUUUCGACAUUUUAAUAUUGUCAAUGUCUGAAAACAACGUGCACUGUUGUAUUUAUAAUCCAAUACUUCGAGAAUAAAAAAACAAGUACUUGUCUUGUUUUUGUUUUGUCCUGUUUGAAUCUAUCUCUCUAUUUGUACAUUCCUGUCUGUUUUUUCUUUUUUUAAAAAAAAUUACUGAGAUAACAGCUACAUGGGAUUUGUUUCUUGUCUUGGACGUGAAGAUGGGUCACUUUGACUUGAGUCUCUGGCUCUGAAUUCUUGGUGGUUUCUUGGAUUCUUUACCUGCACAGGUCAGUCUGUUCAGCUUUGACUUUUUUAUUUAUAUAUUUCUUCUUCUUCUUCUGGUUUCGAUCAAGAAUUUAAUGUUAUGUUUUUCUUUGUUAAUAGUAUUGGUUUUGAAUUCCUUACAAGGGUUUUGUUUUGUGUUUUCUUCUGCUAUGGAUGUUAAUUUUUGUCAAAAGAUUUAUUUUAAUCUAAAUAUUUAAAUUGUUAGGUAAUAUUUUAAAAUAUUAUUUAUAUUAUUUUCUAAUAUAUUUUCUCGAGUGAAAAGUUUUUGAGCCUGAAAUUUACAUAAACUCAUAUUAUUUUGUGUUUAAUUUUCAUCAAAUAAAUAGAAAUGAUGAAAUUUGAACUCGUGACUGUUUGAUUAUCAAGAUUUUAAUAUCAUGUCAAAGAACCAUCUCCAUCUAAAUAUUUAAAUUUUUCAAAAUAUGAUUUAUAUUAUUUUUUAAUAAUUUUAAAGACUUUUGAUUUCUGAAAUUCAUCCUCUAAUUCAAUUCUAGUUUUGUGAUUGUUUUUUUUUAAAUAAAUUUUUUUUUUCCUUCUAAGCUUUGGCUAUCUGUUGGUACUUCCAUUUUCAUUUUCUAAUUUUGGCUAAAAUGCAUUUGUUUAAUAGUAAGCUCCUAAUUUGGGUUCUAAAUGGGGUUUUGUGGUUGUUGAUACUGUGAAAAUGGGGAGGUUUUCCAUUAUUCAAAUGUUGACCUGUUAGCUCUGGCUUAUCACGUCACCGGGGUUUUUUCCGUGUUUUUUCGUAUCCUGGUGCAUGGGUAUUGUCUUUUCCUUUGAGUUCUGUCUUUUCUUGUCAAGCUUUGGCUGCACAUUUAUAUUUGCUUUUAUCGAUUUAGAACUUUCUCCCAAAUUAUCAAAAGAAAGAAAAGAAGUUAGAUUUGGAUUCGGAAUCAGAUUAUAAGUUUUUAUCAUGAAAUAGAAUUUGAUCUGCUAGCUUCUGAUGUGGAAACAUGUCUAUGACAUUCUUUUUAUUUUAUGAGUUUCAGGUCUCCAAUAUUCUUCAGGUUUAUUACAGUGUUGAAUCUUGCUUCGGAUUGUUGAACAUUUCAGGAGGGUUGGAGUUUCUGUUCCUUCGAUUAAUCAAUAUCCCAUUCUGAAAUUUUUUAAUCCUGCUGGAGCAUGGCUGCCAGUGGGGUUUCAUCUAUUCAAUCAAAGAAAAAGUCCUGGAGUAUCAGCACUGCUUUGGCAUCUGCUGUUUUGGAAUGGUUGCUAAUGUGUAUGCUCUUCACCAAUGCUAUUUUCUCGUAUUUAAUUACAAGAUUUGCAUGUCAAUGGGAAUUGCAAACCCCAUGUUUGCUAUGCUCAAGACUGGAUCAUAUUCUGGGCUCUAGAAAGUUGAGAUAUUAUUGGGAUUUGAUCUGUGGCAAUCAUAAGUUGGAGGUCUCAUCCCUGGUUUUCUGUCACGCUCACAACAAUCUCGUCGAUGUCCAUGGAAUGUGUGAAAAUUGCCUUUUCUCAUUUGCCACCACCAAUAAGUCCAAUGCUGAAACAUAUAGAUUGUUGGUUGGGAAGUUGGGGGAGGAUUCUAGCUUUGGUUUAGAUCAGGACCCACUACUUGAUGAUCAUAGUUCAGUUGCGAGACUAUGUUCUUGUUGCAAUGAACCAUGGAUUCCGAGAGGAUAUUUCCAAAACUUGAUGCGGGCUGCAUCAGUUGGUUCCGGGGCUGCUAAUCUUGAUGUCCCUUUGUCAGGUACCAUUAAACAUGAUUGCAGUAACAUAAAGAAAAGUAAAAGAUCUACAUCCAUCAGAAGCACCCGUCGAAAAACUACUGGGUUUGAUCCUUUAUCUCAUGUAGGUUACACUGAACUCAAGUUCAUUUCUGAUACUGAAUCUGAAGUCAUGUUUUUUUCUGAUGAUGGUGGUGCAAAUGCUGCAACUCGCAAAGAUAUUUCAGUUGGAUACGUGCAGCCAGAGCCUCGCACUAUCAUAUUAGUCGAUGAUUCUGCCUCAGAGAAACUGAUUGAUCCGGUCACUGCACCUGAGCCAUCAAUUUUGACCUCGAAGGUGCUAUCAGAUGUUAUCCAGUCCCACAACGUUACAGCAACAGCAUCUGCAUUUCCUAUUGGGCAUGAUUUGGAAGAGCUUAAAUGGCAACAAGCUGAUUGGAAGGCUAAUUCCUUUGCACUUCCUGAGUUCGUUUCCCAUGAUAAACUUCCUCCAUCAUCAAUUUCCAGAGACAGCCCUCGAAAAGCGUCAAAAGGAAGAAAGCAAAUUUCUCUAGACGAAGUUCCUCGAUCAUCAUAUGUCAAAGAAACUCCAUUGGAAGCAUCGAAAGAAAGCAAGAUUAUUUCGGUGAACAUUGUUCAUCCAUCAUCAAAAUGGAGAGGGAAUCCUGUCAAAAUUUCAGAUGAGAGAAAGCUUAUUUCUCUUGCUGACUUCCUUCCAUCAUCAAAUGGAGCAGAAACUCCUGUUCAAGGAUUAAAAGAGAGAUGUAAGUACAAACUCCUUCUACAAAAUUGUGUUGGUGUUUCUUUUAUAAACAAAGGAUGCACUGGGAUAAUAAAAAACGGAAAAGAAAAAAAAGCUCCUUUCUAGUAUAUAAUUGUAUAGAAUACAAAUAUGAACACAUGCCUUAGUAUACAGCAGUUCUUUUUCUCAAGUAAUAAAAUAACGUUUGAGUUGCACCCAAUACAUAUUAAGGAUAUCCGAGAAAUAUCAUUUACACAUUCAAAUGCUUAACAUGUUUAAGAAUUAUGCGAUACACACCAGGGAGAACUUGAACUUGAAGCAAACUCCUUAUAGGGUGAUGGAAUUUGAGAAUGAAUAAUUUUAUUCUGUAGGGGCCACAAAGCAAGCCCAAAUUAUUGUGAAUGAUGCUAAUUCAUAUUUUGGUCACCUUCUCAUACUUAAUUGCUAUAUUCCACAGGUAUAACCAGAGAAGUGGAAGAUUGGCAGGCAUAUGUGAUGGAUUGUGAGGAUCUCUGCAAGGCAGAAAGUCAGCCAGCUAGAAGAACUGAAACAGCUUCAGAAAUAAACCCUCUUUCAGGUGAAAAUGGUCAGCAAUUUGCAAACUUAUUGGAUCUCAGUGAUGCUUAUAAGCUAUCUGUUGGCAAUAGGGGAAGGCAGUUGUCUGGUGUUCUUGCUGAACAAAGGACUGGGAAGGAUUCUUCAAGAUUUAGCGAAGAGUUGAAGCUUUUACUUUCACAGCUCUCCUCUUCUAGAGACCAGUCAAUGAAUGCUAUCAGUCCUAGAGUUCCUAUCAGUCCUAGAGUCCCUGUUAGUCCUAAAUUAUCAUCAAACAGUGAUGAAUUAAGGAUUUCUGAUGCUUCUAGUGUCUUAGGAAUGCAUAUUCUUCAAAAGCGAAUCACACUUGAAAGAAAUGAAUCUUGUCUAUCUUUGGAUGAAAGUAUUGUCAGUGAAAUUGAAGGUGAAAGUGCCGUUGAUCGGUUAAAACGGCAGGUUGAGCAUGAUAAAAAACUGCUCAGUGCAUUGUACAAGGAAUUGGAGGAAGAAAGGAAUGCAUCCACAAUUGCUGCAAAUCAAGCUAUGGCCAUGAUUACUAGACUACAGGAGGAGAAGGCAACACUCCACAUGGAAGCUCUGCAAUACCUAAGAAUGAUGGAGGAGCAAUCUGAGUAUGAUACGGAGGCCCUGCAAAAAAAGAAUGACCUUCUCACAGAGAAGGAGAAAGAGGUCCAAGAUCUAGAAGAGGAGCUUGAGUUUUAUAGGAGUAAGUUCCCCGAUGAAUCAAUCUUUCAGACACCGACUUCUGAUAGAAAGGAAACAGGUUCAAGUGCGGAUCACUCAGAAGCUGGCUGGAUAGAAGAUAGCACAACCACAAAUAGAAACUCGGUUACAGAAAAACCUAAUGUCUGCCAUAAAGUUGAAGCGACGAAUAUGUCACUUGGGGAUAAGAAUAUCGUUACUGUGAAUAGUUCUUUGUUAGAGUUUGAAGAUGAAAGGUCAUAUAUUACACAAAGUUUGAAGAGGUUGAAAAGGAAGCUUUAUCUGUUAUCUAACAAUGGGCUAAGCUUAGACUUGAUCAACGGUGAACAUUCUGAAGGAGAAAAAGGAAAUGACUUGAGGGAGCUGAAUAACAAAGUGGGUGUUGAACAGAACAUUGGGGCAGAAAAGAAAGAGUUAUCAAUGACUGAUAGAAGAAGCGAGCCUGUUCAAGGACAUGUUUCUGCACUUGAGAAAUUUUUCAUUGGUAACGAGAACAAUGAGGUUUUUUAUAGUGGGGAAAGCUCUCCUAUGCCCCCUCGAGAAAUUGAUCUAGACUCUCUCGUAAAUGAAGUUUCUGAUAUAAGUGAGAGGUUGGAAGCUCUUGAGGCAGACCGGAAUUUCCUUGAACACGUCGUUAACUCAAUCAGAUAUGAUGAGGAAGGGCUUCAUUUUAUUAAGGAGAUAGCUUCUCACCUGAAAGAAAUACGAAAGAUCGGGAUACCGAAAAGGGAGCAGGAGCAAAUCACUGCUUAAGGCUGUUGUAUAAAAACCAUGACAAAUGUGAGUACUCCAAUGCAUUCUUUCUUUGCGUUAGAGACAUUUGAUUCAGAAUUUCUCAAGGUUCUUUUGAUUAUGCAGUUCAUUGCUUUCGUGCUUUAUUUUAUCAGGUGCUUCGUUAUGCAAAAAGACAUUGAUGCGCAGGAAAGUAUAGAAAAUUUGCCAAACCUGGCAAAGAAGAUUGCAAUCAAGUGUACAGUAUCACAAGCUUGUUUGUUUUCUCUCUGGACAGAAACCAUAGGAUUGAAUAUCAAAUACUUUCAUCUCUCAUUAUUCCUUGGCUUGCAGUAAUCACAAAUUCAGUGAUAUUAAUACCAAUUCCCUUGCCCCCUUCAGACCUGCGUUUGGAGGGGUUUUCUUCUUUAUUUUUCAGGUUUUGAGUGUGAUUAGUGAAUGCAUUGUAGUGCAAUAGUUUAUUUUUGUAUUUGUAUAUUAAACUUGACCAUUCAAAUAUUACAAAAGUGAAAAAUCAAUAAGCCAACAUUAUGUACUUGUAAAUUUGAAAGUCCCAGUGAUUGAGAUUUUUUUUUGUUGUUAAGAUUUUAUUUAUAAAAAUCUUUUUAAAUAAAAAGGAUCUAACAAACAUAUCAGAUACAAAAUAUUUGAUCUUGAUAGUCAAGUAAGUUUAAGGUAAUGUUGGUUAAGAAAAUAUGCCAGAUCUACUUGGACUCAACAGUCAGUCAAGCCCAAGAUAAUGUAGGUAUACAAGAUAACAUGGGUUUGACGAACAUAUCAAACCCAAAAAACUUGAACAGUACCAAGUUCUAAGGCUAUAUGUCUGAUUCUGGACAAUCUUCUACAAUAUAAGUAUUAAAGACAUGUUAAACCAUCAUGCCUAUCAAUUUAGAAUAAUCAUUCAUAUUAAGGUAAUAAUUUUCCUAUAUUUAUAGGUGUGUAUAAGGUCUUUUAAAGGACUUACCAUACUUAUUAUCUUGUUAAUGAUACACCUCUCAUUAAUGUCACUGAAAGCAGAGAACUUUCUAGUUUUUCUCUUUUUUAAAAACGAUAAGGUUCAGGGGAUAUAAAUAUUCUCUCAACCAUCCAAAUAAAAGGUUCAUAACUAUUCAUCUCUUAAGUCUUAAUAAGUAAUAAUAAGUAGUUACAUUUCUGUUAAACAGAACAAAAAUGAAUAGGAAGAAAAGCAUGGCAUUAAGGCUUUACACUAUCACACUAUGAAAGCUUUUGAUCAUCAAGCUAUAUUUGAGAUUGUGAUAGCGGUUGUUUUUUAAAGUGUUUUUUAUUUAGAAAUGCAUUAAAAUAAUUUUUUUUGUAUUUUCUAAAAUUUAUUUUGACAUUAGUACAUCAAAGCGAUUUAAAAUAAUUGCAUUUGACUACAUGAAUUAUAUACUAAUAAUAAGUACCUGCACUUCUGCUAGACAAAAAAAAAAAAAAAACAGGAAAAAAAGCAUAGCAUUAGGGCUUCACACUAUCACACUGUGUAAACUUUUGAUCAUAAAGUAACAUUUAAGAUUGUAAUACUGGUUGUUUUUUAAAAUAUUUUUCAUUUAGAAAUGCAUUAAAAUAAUUUUUUUAAAAAAUUUAUUUUUAACAUCAUCAAAACAAUUCAAACUCAUAAAAAAAAACAAUUAAAAAAAAUCAAAAAAACUUUUAAAAAAUUUUAAAUACAAAAAUAAACACCCAAUCACUCUGGCCGGUAAAGCAAUAAAACACCCACUCGAAGUUCUUUUCCAGGCAUUUACAAUUGGCAUAGGUUUUUUUUAUUGUCCUUAAAAUUACUCUAACUAAAAAUGGUAGCAUGGAACAAAAAUCAUAAUUCAAAUAAACAUAAAAUAUAAAUUUGAACCUUAUUAUUCUUGUACCAUACAUCAGCAUGAAACUCUCGAUAAUAUUUAAUAAAUAGAAAAUGACGAGUCCUUUUAAGGACUAAAAUAGUUUUACUUUUAAAGAUUGAAUUUUUUUUUUUUUUUUUUAGUUUAAUUCCUCUUCAAUUGAGUGUUUCAAGCUCACUACAACACAAGCUGCUUGAAAGUAUCACAGUUCGAAACAUUGGCUAAACACAUGUGGAAAAAAACAAAAAGAAACCUAGGAAGCAAGUGUCUAACGUUUGACACUCCAUUACCUUCCUAGUUACUAGUUACAGUACAGACAAAACCCCUGCCACAAAACCCGCCUCAGGUACAAGGAUGAUGCUUCUGCAACAGACAACCUCAGUGCCAAGACUUGUAGUGUUUUCAAAAUCUGAUUUUUGUUUCAAGCCUUGUUCUUCCUCUUCAACAAGAUUAUCUUUCAUGGACAAGCACACCAACUCCUCUUCUUCUUCCUCUUCGCUAAAACAGUCUCUCAAACAAUACCAAAGUCCAGUCGUGGCUUGUCAAGCAUCAACUGACACUAACGAUACUUCUUUCAGGUUCGUGCCCAUAUACCAAUUUGUUUUCUUUUCUUUUUAUUGAAUUUUAUCAGCACCCAGAUGGAUUUUUUGCAUGUCUUAUUCAAGUUUGUGUUUUCAUUGCCUUUUGGUUUUAUUAUAUAGUGCCCUGAUAGAAUUUUUGAUAGAAAAUAAAUAUAAAAAUAUAUACCUGUCUUGGUUGGUAUCUUGUUGGAGCUGAGUGAUUAGAUUGUUUGAUGUGGUGAAUAUAGGAAAGAUUACUUGCCAAUUCAUGGAGUGUCCGAGGUGAUUGUUGGUGUAUUGGGAGGUGGGCAAUUGAGCCGUAUGUUAUGCCAAGCAGCUUCAGAAAUAGCUAUUAAAGUCAUGGUUUUGGACCCACUUGUGAAUUGUCCAGCGAGUUCGAUUGCAUAUGAUCAUAUGGUUGGAAGCUUUGAUGAUAGUGCAACGGUUCAGGAAUUCGCAAAAAGGUUCGGUAUUGAUGGAAUUCAGUUGUGGGUAUUGGAGAUUUUGUGUCCUUUUGUAUUUAAUUUUGUCAUUGUGGUGUUGUAGAUGUGCAGUGUUGACUGUGGAUAUUGAACAUGUUGAUGUUGCUACGAUGGAGAAGCUUGAGCAGCAAGGAGUUGAUUGCCAACCAAAAGCUUCUACUAUUAGAAUUAUCCAAGUAUGCCCCUUUUAAUUUUCAGAGUUAACUGGUUAUGCUAUUUUGCAAACCAUAUGCUACUUUGGCAUUUAGACUUACUUUGUAAGGAAUUUUGAUUUGACUUUAAAACCAAAAACGAUUUUGGCUUCAAGAUGAAAUUUCUUGGUGGAUCCUUGUUUUCAAUCUUACAGGAUAAAUAUCUCCAGAAGGUUCAUUUUUCUCAGCAUGGGAUUCCCCUUCCUGAUUUUAUGCAGGUUGGUUGCUGUUUAUAAGUAUUUCCCUGGAGGAUGCUACCUACAGUUUUCAUUACCUAUUAUUAGCUUCAUAUGCUCUAGUUAACUGGUAUUGAAGUAUGACUGAUACAGAUUGAUGAUCUAGAAGGUGCCAAGAGGGCAGGUGACUUAUUUGGCUAUCCUCUAAUGCUCAAGAGCAGAAGGCUAGCUUAUGAUGGGCGUGGGAAUGCAGUUGCUAAGAAUGAAGUGGAGCUUACUUCUGCAGUAAAUGGUAGGAUGUUCUUUACUGAAGUUCAAUUACUAAAAAAUUCAGUAUCCUAUUUAGGCUUGAGAAAGGCUACACUUGUAUUCCUAUAUGCUAUUGAUUAAUAGCAGUUUAGUAUCCACCAUUUCUUAAUUGUCAUUCUAAAUGUUAAGGAUCCAAAUGCUGUGGCUACAGAAGAUCUAUCAUACGUUUUAAUAAAGGCUAUUUUCAUCUUUUGUUCUUUUUGUCUGGAUUAGGCACAGGUAAAUCAUAAUUGCUAUUUGGCUUGUGGAGACCCAACCAAAAGAUGUUAUAGACCUUUAAGCUGGGUUUUUUGGGGUUUUGGGUGUAGAAUCAUACAAAAUGAAACUGGCCCCUCCCAGGGCGUUGGAAAUAUAUUUGAUGGCAUUAUCAAAUUCUUGGAAAGAAUGUGAAAGCCAACUCGUCUAGUUUGGACCCAUUAAAUGGAAAAAUUACCUCCUCUUGACAGUCAGGAAUCUGUGUGAUUGUGUCAUGGUUUAGAUUAUGCUAUAUUCAUGGUGUCUAGAGCUCAUAAUUUCAUAUAUGUUAAUCCAAGGCAACAACAGGAAAUUGUUUCCCUCGUAUCCUUAACAACUUUAGCAAAGAGCUGUUGAGACCUGGUACAUUCUUUGCCCAGACAGGAAAGGUUUUCAAUAGCUUGACUUAAUGUUUUUGAAUGAUUAUGCUUUACAAUCUCUCUUGUUAAUCCUCAUCUUUUCAUAGUUUUUGAUAGUUUUCUUGCAUAUACUGUAGGAAUUAAGCUUGUCUGACUACCUGCUUCAUCUCUCCAUUAUUUCUCCAACCUUUCUUUGUCAUACUUGCUUACCUCUCGUCAUGUUCAUAGUCAUAUCGUUUUGAAUGUCUAGGUGAUUUUGAACAGUGGCUGGCAGUUGACUUCUUAUCAUUUUAUGAUCAAGGGCGUUUCUUGCUAAAUUCUUCCUUGAACCUCAUAUAUCUAGCCUUGCCAUUUCAAUUAUAUCGAAUGAUCUACUUUAAUUUCCUCAUCCUUGCUGCAUUUCAUGCCAAGUUCGUGGCUCUUAUUUUUAUUUUCUAUAUGGAAAUAGGUUGUGGUGGAUCAACUCCUUUUUGUAAUGUAAUAUUUAUGAUACUUUCCAAUUUCCAGCUCUUGGAGGAUUUGCUCGUGGUUUAUAUGUUGAGAAAUGGACUCCCUUUGUAAAGGAGCUAGCUGUCAUUGUGGGUAGAGGAAGAGACAAUUCCAUCUCCUGUUACCCUGUUGUUGAAACUAUCCACAAGUAUGAUACAGAUAUGACAUUUCCAUGUUCUUUCUCGUUGCUAUUUUUUGGUUUUCAGUGCAUUUGGUAGCAACAAUAUUUGAGUUUGUCAGAUGUGUUUGAUGUGAUAAUGUUUAUCAAUUCUUAUUGUUGCAUCUGCUUGCAUCUGAUUGAAGACAUUGGGUCUUGCAGAGAAAACAUUUGUCACAUAGUUAAGGCUCCUGCUCAUGUACCAUGGAAGAUCAGAAAACUUGCCAUUGAUGUUGCACAUAAAGCUGUUAGCUCAUUAGAAGGUGCUGGUGUGUUUGCAGUGGAGUUGUUUUUGACAAAGGAUGGUCAGGUUGUGCUUGUAAUUCAGACUGUUAGAUUUUCUCUGCAAUGCAUUUCAUUAUUCUCGGUCUCAGGAACUUACUGUCUUUGACUAACUUGUUGGUGUUUUCCCUUCUGAACAGAUUUUACUGAAUGAAGUAGCUCCUAGACCUCAUAAUAGUGGUCAUCACACAAUUGAGUCCUGCUACACCUCACAAUUCGAACAGCAUUUGAGAGCUGUUCUGGGUCUUCCACUUGGUGAUCCAUCAAUGAAGACUCCAGCUGCUAUCAUGUACAAUCUACUGGGUGAAGACGAGGUGAAUUGUUUUCUUCUCCAUUUCCAGUUUUUCUUUUCACAUUCCAUUUGUUUAAUCUUUAAAAACUAUAUUAAGAACAUUGGUGGAGACUUUUGUUUCCAGGUCACAUGUUUGAACAUCUUUUUAUCAUAUGCACACCCACAACUAAGCAUAUGCACUCAGAUAGAAUUUGGUUACGUGUGUGUUAAGAUGUGUGGACUGCUAUAAUGUAUUUGGUGAUUUCAAAAAUGGUUGCACGAGGCAACUUACACAAAGCAUUGACCAAAUAUCUUGUAUGAUCUGAGGGCCAAUCUGAGGAAAGGGAAAGCUAGGACAUGAUUUGAAUAUUAACUUUGGAUCUUGGGUGGGGAUUAUCGAUAUUACGUGCAACCAAUUUCUUGAACUUGGGGGCAUCAAAUAUUUUUAACAUAUUGAAAAUUGGAAGAGGAGGCUAUUCAAAGUUCCUAGCUAAUAGUGAGUUCGCAAUAGAAGUCAUUCGAAGUUGGCAUGUGACAUGAGCUUCUGAGUUUAUAAUCCUUUUUUCUAAAUAUUUGUUCACUUCUGGUGCUCAUGGAACUCUGAUUCAAUUCCAGAGUUGUAGGAUUCUCCAUUGAUUGCAUGGGUGGGUGCUUCGGGCUUGGGUGGGCAUUUUGUUUUGUUAGUUGGAAAAUAGGCAGCUCCUCCAUAAAUCAACAUUAAAAAUGUUGUCAAAAUUUUGCUAUGUUAUGUUGUUAUUUAAUUGGCUAGUGACAAUGUUUAUACUUUUAGGGUGAGCCUGGUUUUCAGUUAGCUCAUCAGCUGAUUGGAAGGGCAUUGAACAUGCAAGGGGCUGCUGUUCAUUGGUACGAAAAACCAGGUUUGUUUUUCAUAAAUUCUAUAAAUUACCCAAUUGCAUUCUUUCUCCUUCUCUCUUCUUCUUCGUUAUCAUAAUAAUUGUGCAGAAAUGCGAAAGCAACGAAAGAUGGGUCAUAUCACUAUUGUUGGCUCUUCUGCGGGCAUAGUAGAAGCACAGUUAAAAUCAGUGCUGAAGGAAGAAGGUUCCGAGACUCAGACCGCAGGUAGGUUUUCCUAGCAUGGCCUGAUCACUGUACUCAAUCUGUAUGGCUAGAUGACAUGUUCUAGCUGUAUGGUUUUCCUCACCUUCUCUCAGAGCAAAUUUCUGCAAGUUGCAUUAGAAGUAUGUAUCUGUCCAUACGUUAAAAUGGAGAUUAAUGCCCCCCCUUCUAUUGUUCAAUCAGGUUCAAUUUUUGGAUUCAUGUUAAUUCUUAAUUUCUUGGAGAUAGGUACUAGGGGUGGUGGACUUUUCUUGUUGUUCAUUAUGGAGGCUCUACCGUCAUGAAUAUAAGCACAAUUAUGAUCAGUUGCAUAUUUUUUUCUGGUUAUUAAUUACUAUUAGACCUUACUGUUAUGCUUUAUGAGAUAUCUGUUCUUUCAGUUUAGGUUGAUUGUGUUUCCUGUUUGUUAAAAUGUAGUUACGCCAUGUGUUGGGAUCAUUAUGGGCUCUGAUUCAGAUCUUCCUAUUAUGAAGGAUGCUGCGAGGAUUUUGAAUACGUUUGGUGUGCCUCAUGAGGUUUACUUUCAAAUUUGCAUUUUUUUUUCCUGGAAUGCGCCAGCACUGGUUUCUUUUGGUCCAUGUAUACCAGACAUUCAUGGUUAACAAUAUAUAACAUGCAGGUGAGAAUAGUAUCAGCACAUCGAACUCCUGAAAUGAUGUUCUCUUAUGCCCUGUCUGCUCGGGACCGAGGCAUUCAAAUCAUCAUUGCCGGUGCUGGUGGCGCAGCUCACUUGCCAGGCUAGUUACAUAUAUGCUAUGCUUUUUAUAAAAUAUUAUGUUUGUCAACUUUCUCACUGUCCAUAAUGAAGCAUCGGUUUAACUUCACAGGUAUGGUAGCUUCACUAACCCCCUUGCCUGUUAUUGGUGUCCCUGUGCGUGCUUCUGCUUUGGAUGGAAUGGAUUCGCUCUUAUCAAUUGUACAGGUACACUAUUUUAUCGUAGAUAAUAUAAAUUUCUCAUGAUACCCAAUGUCAAAAGUACCAGUGACCUCCAAUUCUAGCGUUCUAAGUUCUAAUACUAGUUUAUUUCCCAAAAUGGGUGCAUGGGAAAGUAGACAUGUCCAUUUCCUUUCUUUAGAUGCAUUUUUUUUUUUUACAGGGAGGGGAGGUUUCUAUUCUACUUUGAAAGGAAGCUAUAGUUGUUUGUGACUUUGGUGGGAAUUGUAAAUGCAAGAUUCUUUGGUUUGGUAUUAUCACUUAUAUUUCCUAGGUUCAGUUACUCUAUAAUGCAGGUAAAAGAAUGAGAGCAGAUUUUAACACCGUGUUUAUAUAAGUAUAGAACAUAACCCCAAGUUCCCAUUUAAAUCAGGAAGUUAUAAGGAUGAUUUUGCCAUCCAACACAGAAUCUGCAGUUUGACCCUCGUUGCAGGAAGUCGGUGUCUAACAAUAAUAUCCCCAGAUACAAUCCAUUACUAGUAUUUAAUGUUUGUUUCAUUGUUUUUUAAUUUUCUAAUUUCUCUGUCAUUAAAGCCUUUGUUGCUCUAUUAUUAUCCAGAUGCCAAGGGGAGUCCCUGUUGCAACUGUGGCAAUUAAUAAUGCCACAAAUGCAGGUUUGCUAGCUGUAAGGAUGUUGGGUGUCGGUGAUGCUGACCUUUUGGCAAGGUUCUCUCUUUCUUUCUGUUUGUGUGUGUGUGUGACAGUAUAACAAUUGAAGGUGUCCCUAACGUUUCCUUUUUGAUUUGCAGAAUGAGCCAGUAUCAGGAAGACACAAGGGACGAUGUCUUGAAGAAGGCAGAAAAACUACAAACUGAUGGUUGGGAAUCAUAUUUGAAUCCUUGAGCACCAGAAAACUUGUCUGGUGAUUUUUGUUUUCUGUCCCUUCUGUGUGAUGGACCACAAUCUUGAGAGUUCCAUGUCUACCAUUGAAAUUCCUUCAACUUAUCUCUACACAACAAUUUUGUAUCCGCAAAAGGAUCAUGAGUUAGUGUAGCAGAUACCAAAAACCUGCCGCAGGCGUAUUGAAUUUAGGUGUGAUGCAUUUGGGGUCACAGUGGAAUAACUGAUUACUUUUCUGAUAAUUUUGUAGCAUAUUGGAAGGCUGAAAAGGAGAUAGUUUUUAGAUAGAUAGAUAGAGAGAGAGAGAGAGAGAGAGAGAGAGAGAGAGGGCCUUGUAUCCAUAAUUGUAUGAUACCUGUUUUUUCCCUGAUCAAUAGUCAAUUAAAGUUAGUUCUUUCUGUUUGUGCUGAGAACCAGUUCGUUUCUUUCUUCUCCUGUUUGUCCAUUGAGGCUUCACAAGUCUCACAACCUACACUGUAAAGCAUGUUUAGCAAGGUGAUGGCAACCAUGUUCCUCAGUAUUCUCGAGCGAUCCCUAACCUGCCAGGAAAGCAAAUCGAGAUCCCAAAUUCCCUGCUUAACACGUUAACAGUAACUGGGCAGUUGAAACUCUUUAACAAUUGGCUGUCUUGUCUGGGACAGUGUCAAACCUUGACUUUGUCAAGAUCCAAGAGGUUCUCCAUUCAAUUACGAGUAUUGAUAGAUGAACUAAUUUCCAUGCCACCUUGGAAGACCGCUACAAGUAAAUUUGUUUGAAGUCAGAAGUCGAAGUCAUGAAAUCAAAACUCAGGCGAGGCAUUGCGGCCCGAAUUGAGCUUGCAUGUUGAUCCUUGCACGUCACAGUACUUCACCGCUGACCAAGGGAAGCGGAAAAAGGUGUAAGGUGAUGGCAUUAGACAGGUUUCAAAUAAUGGAAUAGACAUUAGUCGCAGCAAACUGAUGACUAAAGGGCAUGAGAGAAGCAGAAUAAGGAGCAAGGUGAUGGCAUUAGGCAGCUUUUCAAAUAAUGGAAUGAACAUUAUUAGCAGCCAGCAGCAUAGUGCUAAAGUUCCAAGGACUGAGUUUUUUUUUUUUAGAGUAUGAUUGAGGGUGUUUUUAAAAGUAUUUUUUACUUAAAAAUAUAUUAAAAUAAUUAUUUUUACAUUUUAAAACUUGUUUUUUUUUAUAUAUACAUUAGCACAUUGAACUAAAAUACUAAAUGAGCCGAAGAUCAUAACUCUCUUGUAAAGAUACGAGUGAACAAGUUUGGCCGGAAAAGAUGCCAUGCCUGCCAUGACCGUCAAUACCCGAUUGAAUUCCUCCGUCUCUGUGGUGGUAAGAUGUUUCACAUCAAUGGCAGAGGGUCGAAAUCAAAAUCCAAUUGCAUUCACAUUUCAUGAGAGGGGGUUUGUGCUGUGAAUGCCUGGUCAACCAUUAGAACGAAGCAGAAAAAUCUACGUAUUGGCCAUAAUUCUUUUUAUUUCAUGAAAAAGUCAAUUGACCACCCAGGAUUUGACCCCAAAUAUGGAAGAGAAAUAUAAUAAGGCACUCAAGAUGAAAUGCGUCAAAUAAUUUUACAAAUUAAUUAAGCUAGUUCUUGACAAAGUGUUUUUUUUUUUAUUAUUAUUAUUAUUUCCUUUCUCUAUUGAUUUUACGGCUAGAUCAUAUUAUUAUACCAUUUUUUGUGCAAAAAACAUAUGCAUGAUACAUUAAUUAUAACUACUACAUAAAUUUAUUUAUUUACUAACAAAUUACACCACAUGUAAUCUCUCAAAAAUAAAAAAAAUAAUAAAGAUUUGCUACCAAGACUACCCUGAUUUUUAAUUUGGUGCAAUUAUAGAAUAUAUAAUAUGGAUAAAGAAUGAAACAACCUAGAUUAAUCACAAUAAAACAUAGUACAUGGUUCAAAGAUUAAACAAACUAAAUAAAAUCAAAGAUGUAUAUUUAAUAGAUAAUAAAAUUUAUUUAUUGGUAAAUAACUAUAGAAAACUAUUGGAAAAUCAAAAAGAAUAAAUAUAUAUGUAUUAUAAAUUAGUUAAAUAAUAUGCACACAGGAAGAAAGUAGAACAAUGAAGAACACGAGUAUGGACCCAAAACGGCAAUUGACCAACAGCAAAAUGUUCCCAAAACGAAGCCCAAAUAACAGCAGGCUCCCUUAGUGGGUUGAGAAAGGAGAAAUUGCCUCCCACUCCCAGAAUUCCAUGGAGGACUCCUUCAACCUUUGAUUUAUAUAAAAGUAAGGACUUGUUUGUUCUUCAAGGUCCGUGUCUUUGAUUUUUACUCUCUUCUCUCCAUUCAAACUUCAAAUCCGCGGCCAUAAGUCAACACAUGACAUAUACUGCGAAGCAACACCACCACACCAUGCCUUCAAAUAUAAACCCCCCCCUCCUCCUCCAUUGGCACACACCGCAACUUACCUACCUAGCCUUCUUCGUCCUCAAGAACACCCGUCUAGCUAGCUCUUUACACAUCCCAUAACAUUGUUGUUGUUUUUGUUUUGAGUCUGUCUUCUCUGAUUUCACAAAUGGGUUCUCAAAGAAGAAAUCAGUGCUUAACGGUAAUGAUUUUUGUUACCAUUGUUCUUGGAUCAUGUUCUCAGCAAGUAUUGGCAGCUAGGCCAUUGGAAGGAGAACGGUGGUCGGAGAAGAUUGUUGGAAAUAUCCAGUCUCUCCAAAGGGGUCCGGUUCCACCAUCUGGGGGGUCUCCAUGCACCCAUAUUCCUGGCCGUGGUAGUGGCAAAUGCUCCUUGGGUGAAAUGAAUUUUGCUGGCCAUACUGUUGCUCUUGCACCACCUGCCUUUCCUGACGCCAUCAUGAACUUCGGCGCCGCAGCUUCUACCACCAGUGGAACUCAUAAACAAGAUUCAAGCUCUUGAAUAUCGGUCUUAGGGAUUGAAUUAAUUAUACAUGCAGGUUCUUUCCAAGUUGUGAAUAGCCGAAAUAAACGAAGGAUGGAGAUGCUCAGCUUUAACUUCAUACUUUCUUAUUUUUUUAUUUUUUUUUUAUUUUUUUUUGGAGCAACCACACUUGAAAAACAAGAUGGUGGUUUAGAAACAAAUGAUAUUUGAUGUUUAUUCAUUUUACUUCAAUGAAUAUUUAACUUGAUUCUUUUAGAUUAUAUAUUAUGCUGUCUUGUUGUAAUUGUUCAGAGAGUUUUGGAAAAGAAAAGAUAUAUAUAUAAUUAGUUCAAUUACAUCAUUAAUCAAAUUCCAUUUCAUUUAAAUCCUUGUUUGUUUAUGCGAUUAUACCGUGUUUGUAAGAAAAAAUAAAUUUUUAUUUUAUUUUAAAUUAAUUUUUUAUAUUUUUUUAUUAUAUUGAUUUUUUAAUAUCAAAAAUCAAUUUUUAAAAAUAAAAUAAAAAUUAUUUUAAUAUAUUCCAAAACAAAAAUUGAAUUCUCUUGUACAGCUUAAAUAUGAAAUUUUCCCUAUGUAUUAUUUUACUACAAGAUUCAAUAUACUUUACUCUUACUUUAAUUUGUUUCAAUUAUAAUGAAGCCAUUAAUUCACACUUAUAUAUCAAGAUGGAUCAAAGAUUCAUGAGCGCAGACAACCAAAAGAAGAUUCAUGAGCAGUGGUGAAGACAGCUUUGUUUCACUUUUAAACAUGAUUGAUACACACAGUACGUUGAUAUUUUCAACGAAACAAAUUAUUAAAAAGAAAAAAAAAAGUUAAAAGUAUUUUGACAAGUUUGGGCGUCGUUUGACCUUAUAUAUAACGUCGGUGUGUGUUACAAAUUGCACAGAAACCUUUGCGAGGAGGAGGGUUUUGACUAGGAUUGAUCUGAAAACAAAUUAUGAAAAAGAAAUUCCGGCUUUCAUAAAGAAAAAGUGGAAUUGAAACUCAGAGAUGACGGUAUAUGGACUUGGAACACCAUUAAAGCUAAAUAAUAAAUUAUCACCAGAAGAUCAAGCUAGCUAGUGCUAAUUUAAUUAGUCAUGCUAUACUUUAAGUUCCUAAUGACAUAUAAAUUAAUUCGAAGAUAUUCUUAUCAUAAAAAAUAUAUAUGUAUAUAUGUUUUUUUAUUAUAUUAAUAUUUGAAACGAAUCAAUAUAAACAUAUACAAAUUAAUACAAGUAUCAAUUACCUCAAAACAAAAUUACCUCAGCUUCUUUCUUAACUCAAGUCAGGGCCUUCAGAUUUUGACCAUGCAAAACUUGGUCAAAGCUAUAUAUAAAAGGGGAAAAAGUCUUAUGUUUUUCAUUAUUAUUAUUUUGGGUUGCGAGUAGCCACAGCUUAAGGACGAGCUCGGGCGUAUGCGAGGGAGAAUACCCUACGAGGAUAUAGUCAAUGUUACAAAAACUGGGUUUAUUCACGUAUGAGGUAUAUGUAAUUAUCAAUUUGACCCGGUUUUAUUCACGUUCAGCUUAAUUUCUUGAGUAGAAUAUGAGAAUGGUUCAUCUUUGAUUUUUAUUUAAUUUGUUGUUUGGCGUUAUUUAUAUGCUACCAUCUUUGGUAUAUUAUCUUUAAAUAAGAUGUUCUCGUAUUAAUAAUUCUAUAUAUAUAUAUAUAAAAAAAAAAAAAAAACUUGAAGAGGGUACGUAAAAGAUCUAGCACUGAAGGGAAUCACUCCGAACAAGAAUACUAAAACAUGUCCUUUGCUGGCUAUUGAUUAAAGAACACGGUGCCCUGCGAUGCUGUUGUUCAUGAGUGUUCUCUCUGUAAGAAAUUCAAUUGUAGUGUUUUUCUAGCUCAGGGAAGAUUGUUUCUGUCCGGACAUGAUUAGGUAGCAAUCAAAUAACAAGACAAGAGCAAGGGAACAAAGUUGUUUUUUUUUUUUUAAUAUUCAUGAUGGAGUUGGUAAAGUAGAUGGGUCAAUAGGUAUGUUUUCUAUAUGUUCUUCAAUUUAAUUCUUUCUGUUCUGUUUUGUAAGCUUAUUCAAAAGUGUAAAGAUCUAGUUUCUUACAUGCAAGCUGUUUUAUAUAUAUAUAUAUAUAUAUAUAUAUAUAUAUAUAUAUUAAAAAAAAAGUUUUAUGUUGAAAGUAAUCCUAUGUCUGAAAUCUUUGGUCCAAGAAACGAAUAAAUCAAUCCUAGAGAAAAGUCGCAUUUUGAAGGAAUUAUAAUGUAUAAGCUGGCAUGGUACGUCAUCUCUCCAAGUCAACCCAUGAAAGAUGAUAUAUACAGCCAUCCAAGUCCCUUGUGAUUGAUGGUAUAGCAAGCAAGCACAGACAAUGCAAUAAGCAAAAUGGUGGGCUUGUCUCCUUUGCAGCCCAUGAAAGAUCAUAGAUUGGUCCAUGAGGACGAUUUGAUGAGAUCAUGGUGACAUGGUAGUAGAAAUGGUGGAAUAAUGAUGACGGUGAUAGUAGUAAUAGCGCCGGUUGUUAGGGUGGUGAUGGGGUAAUGGCCGCGGAAAUGGUGGCGAUAGCAGUUGAGGAAUUAUGGUCUAUUAAUUUGAACGAACGCUCUAACUUGUGGUGGAGUAAGACCCAUUGAGCUCGACUUUAUUUGACCCACCGACGGCAUCUUGGGCUUUCAAUGGGCUCAAGAGCACAACAAUUACUUAGUUUUUUUUUUUUAAUCGAAGAUAGAAAUUUCAUUAAACUAUAAGUAAGAAAUAUUUUUACAUUUAAGAUUUAAAUCAAUAAAUAUAUAAGAGAAUUGUAUAUGUGAGAAAAAAAAAAACAAUGAUCUUAUACUGCCUUGAUGAUAGGAAUUCCUUUCCAACUAUUACAUGGCAGUCUCUAUAAAAUAUCAUGAGGGGAAAGCAUUAAUUGCUUUUUAUUUUUAAUUUUAGUUAACUGAAAUAUUUUAUUUUAUUCUAUCUUGUAAUUUUUUUUCUAUAAGAAAAAUUAUAUUCUUACUAUAGAUGAGUUAGGGGGUGAGAAAAAAACCGAAAAACUGAUUAAACCGAGAAAACCGAAGACAAAUAAAUGAAAAAACCUGAACCGUAAAAAAAACCGAUUAAAAUUUUAAAAAAACCAACCGGUUCGGUUCUGGUUUUAUAAGCCAGAAACUGAAAAAACCGAACCGAAUCCAAGCCAAAAAAAAAACCUGGAAAAAAACCGAGCCAAACCGAAAAAACCAAGCCAAAACCGAAAAAACCGAGUCAAACUGAAAAAACUGAGCCAAAAACCGGUUUGAACCGGUUUUUGUCCUAAAAAACCGAACUGAUUGGUUUGAACCAGUUUCGAUUUAGUUUCAUUUUUUUAAAAAAAAAUUCAGUUUGAUUAUUUUUUUUUUAAAUAAAAACCAAACAAAAAAUAAUCACCUCUAAAAUAGGAGGAGGUUGAGGUUUUCAAGUAUUCUAAAUAUUGUCUGACACGUGAAUGGUUAAAUUGAUUGCCACGUAUUAAAAAGAAGGAAUUCCUCCUAUUUGGAUAGCAAAGAAUUAUUGUUUUUCAUUAUAGAAAAUAAAAUUAACUUACACACUCCUUUUAAUUGACGCACUCUUUUUAGAGAAUUUUUGUCUCUAAAAAUCAUACAUUAAAAAUUUUAUUUAGAAACUAAAUUAUAGGUUCAGAUCUAAAAUAUAAUAAUAUAUUUUACAAGCAUAUAGAUAAUUGACACUCUUUUUUCAUUAAUUUAUCAAUAAUUUUGUUAUAUUUAUAUUUUAUUUAAUACUCUUUUUUUUAUGUAUUAACAAGUGAAACUUUCAUUAUAAUACAAAAACUUAUGAAAUGACAGAAAAAACAAUCAAACAAGAAUCUUAAACUAAAAAAAUAUAAGAUAAAGGGGAUAAAUAUUAAAACAAAAAAAAGCAAGUCUAGUAGUAAAAAACACUAGACCUGUGAUUAUUGCGGGUAGAAAGGACAAAAUAAAGGGGGAAAAGAAAAGGAAUUCUGAAAAAAAGUGAUGGGUGACAACUUACCUCAAUUAUUAUUUAUAUCAACAAUGAUAGUGGUGUUUUUUUUCUUCCUUUUUUUCCUUUUAAUUUUGUCAUUAAUUUUUUAAUUUUAUCCUACUUGAUUCUAAAUUAACUUUCAUAAAUUAUUUCAAUUUGUUUUUAUAAAAUUAUCGUAGUUUCAAACAAAAAUUCAAAUAUUUGAUUUAUACUCGAUUUUACGAGUGUUAUUUUUAUUAUCGUAUGAUUAAGUGAAAAUAUUAUUAAAAUAAAGCUCUUAAACUUAGUGGAGUCCAUCACCUAGAUCGCAAACUUGAUGGGUUAAGUCUAGAAGCCAAGUCAAUUCAAUAUCUUGACAUUUUAUUAUUAAAAAAAUAACAUCUUGAAUUAUUAUUUUUUAAAGUCAAACUAUAUUUUUAUCAAUCGUUUUAGUUAUCUUUGGGUAUAUCAGGUUGAAUGAGUCAUGACAAAACAACUUUUACACACAAUUUAAUUUAAAUUUAUAUUAGAUAAAAAAUCAAGAGAUUUAAAGAUUAAUAUGUUAGAUCGGAUUUAAUAAUGAUGUUUGUUGAUAAAUACAAUAGAAGCUGAAGAUUGACUACUCAUGAGUAAAUAAAUGGGCAAUUUAAUAAUAUAAAUGCACUACAAAAGAAAUUGAUUUUUUUGGGGAAAAAAUUUAACUUAUUGAUUAAUGAAAAUUUUGAUACGAAUUAACACAUCUUUGCUUGCUAAUACUAUACUUGUUGAUAACUUUUCUUUUUUAUUUUUUAUUUGACGAGUAUAGGUAUUUUUGAACUAGUUUUAUAAGUCUUAAUGUAUAUUUGAUAUAUACAUUAGUAAUAAUUUUCUUAAUUUAUAUAUUUUACUUGAUUGGGAGUUUUUUUAGAUUAGUUUAUACACCAACUAAAACUAUAUAUUGUCUAUUUAAACGAUAUUAAUAUUUUCUUUAAUAAACUAUGGUAACUAACUUACCUUGUAACGUUUUAAAUCAUACAUUAUUAUACAUUUUAUUCUAAAUGUAUAAUACUGUAAACGGCAAGAUCUAGAGUUCAUGGAAUUAAGGUGAUGGACUCUCUCUCUAUCUCUCUCUAAAAAACAAAUAAUGAGUAUCUUGCACUUGAGAUCGUGGCCUAGCGGGGAAAGAGACUUGUUUUCUUCAUCUGCAUCCGGGUUCGAUUAUUUUUGUGCAUGUUUGUCAUCCCCGCAAUGCCUUACAUGCCCGCUGGACUUGCAGGAUGUUCAGUGAGCCUGAAGAUUAGUUGUGGUGCGCGUAAACUGAUCCAGAUACCCCGGAUUAUAAAAAAAAUAACGAGUAUUUUUUUUAAUGAAAAAUAGAGCAGGUAGGUUAAAAAAAAGUUUUAUUUAAUGAAAAAUAGAGAAGUUAUGUUAAAAAAAGUUCUAUCUUGAAUAUUAAGAAAUAAAUGAAAUGGGAAGAUCUUUUACAAGAUCAACAGCAUGGAAUCUAUUUCUGAAAUUUUCUUAGCGAUGGUAGGGAAUAAGUACGUAUUUUAUUUCUGAAAUAUUUAUAAAGUUAGAUCAUAGUAAUAAAUUUCAAUUGUACAAUAUAAACUGAGAAAACUUGUGUACGAGCAUGUCAAUAAUAUCAUGAGCAUUGUUCAUGUCAGAUGUCUUUGUAGAUGAACGUUGACGGAGUAACAAACUGCAAAAUAAAUGAGCAGCGGCAAGACCUUAUGCCAUGGACAUGGAGGGUACGAUCCACAGGUGAUGUGGGCUAGAAAUUAAUUCCCCAUGGAUCUUUUAGCUGUAAGAUUGUGUGUGCCCACAGUGUUUUUCCAGCCUCCACGGCAUCUAGUCGCAUGGUUUUGGCUUAAAACUCCACACUAAAAACUCCAAUUGUAACCAUCACUUGUAUUAUUAAAUUUUUUUUAAUAAGAUGAAUUCAAGAUAUCAAAAAAAAUCAUUAACACUAAUAGGUAACACUCUGUGCUUAAAUGCAUGUGAGUUGCAUGUGGCAAACUCUAGCGAUUAUUGAUGAUUUUUUUGAUAUUAUUAUAUUUGUUUCGUGAAUUUUUUUUUAUGAUAUCAAUAAUGUAAAAAUCAAGACUUUGAUGUACCUCUAAUAUUUUUUUUUUCUUCAUUAUAAUUGUUCACUUGUUUUUAAAUUCGAACAAAAAGUGUCACUAACUCCAAUCACCAAUCAUGAUAUUUAUCCGUGUUGUUAGAGUGUCUCGUUGAAAUCUUUUUGAUAAUACUAGUGGUAUAGUAAUUGAAGAUUCAAUGUGUUUUCAAAAUCUCUUUAUUUUUUUUUUUAUCUUUUUUCAUUAUAAUUUAUACCAGAUUUUUUAAUAAUUUCUUAGAAAUAUCUUGUUUUUUAUUAACAAAAUCUUAAAAUAUCGCGUUUCUUCAUUAUAAUAUAUACCAAACUAUAUUAUAUUUUUUUCAUUACCUAAAUUAUUUGGAGAAUAUUUUGUUGAGAUGUUAAUAGAAAAAAAAUACCCAUAUAUUUCCCUCUUAGCGUCACUUUUUUUUCCUCUUCCGACAGCAAAACCUAGGCAGAUGCAUACAUACAUUACACUGUUACUCUUUUCAAUGAACUUCAAUCCCCAUCACAGUGGAACCACCCUGCUUUUUGCCUAAUUGUAGAGCCAAUUGAUAGAUGCUGACGAGUGACGGGAAAACAAGAAAUAUAAGCCUGGGUAUUUAUUCCUUCUCGAGUUCCAGGUUUGAAUACAUGGUAAAUGCUCGGUUUUUUUUUUAAAAAAAAAUAAUUAGCAUAAUAAAUAUAAAAAUUUGGUUUAAUAGCAUCUUUAAAACAAAAAUUAAUGAAAUAAUAUAGUUUAAUAUUAUCACACUUUAAAAAUACCAUAUUUAUUAAAUAUCAUUAUUAAAAAAGCGACAAGAAACAUCAUAUUUUAAAAAUGUAAUAAAUUAUGAUAUUGUAACACUUUACACUUUCAAAACACGACGAAAAAAAAAAGUUGGUGUUACAGCAAUUAAUCUUCUUCCACCAACACCAGCAUCACAUACCUAAACAUCAAUCAAACACAUACUCAAUCACACCACCAUCUCCACCGCUAUAAGCAGCACCAAGUCCCGCCAUUUUAAUCCUCAAAAACCCAUAACAGAACUCGUUGGAGUUUUAACAAAACUUUGUGAAUUGAAAAUAUUGUUUAACAGACGAAUUAGCUUUAAAGAUUGACUCAUCGUAAAGUAUUUUAUUUCACAUUGAUUAACUUAUUUAUAAACUAUUCUAUACAAAAUAUCAGUGGUGGACUUUUUAACCUAAAAACCAAGGGUUUAAAGUACUUCAAACAUCAAAUCAAGAGGCAAAGAAAGAUAAAAACAAGUGGCUAAAGUCGUGAGGGGAAGCGCGUGGAGGGAAGUGUCAUGUGGGACAUGCAGCAGCAUCUUACACAGAUAGACAGACAUAGGUGUAGCUCAGCCUCUGCUACGAAAAGAAAUGAUAGGAUUGGAAUUUGAGUACACAAAUCAACGAGACACCCUAACCACCCAUCAUGUUCGGAGAGCUGGGAGCAUUACCUACCUUUACAUCACUCUCCUUUCCACUGUGUAUUAAUUUGACCGACCCGAUAUUUUGUUAGGAUUGCCGGUCUCCCACUACCAAAGGAACCCUCCUGAAAAGGUCGACACGCCCCUUCAUAUGAAAAGGAAGGCGACGCUGUUGCUGUUACUGUUGCUGCUGCUGCUACUGCUGUUAGAAACCAGUACCAUGGUAUGCAUAGCAAGGUAGCUCGUAAACAGUUAGAAGAUUCCUGAGGGGUGGUGGCCGGAUACUGCUGGAGGACAGGUUUGGGGUCACGUUGACCUUUGAUUACGGCCUGGAGGGACCUGUUAAGGCCAGUAAGAAAUGGACUGGACUGCACUAGCAUGAGGGCAUGUGAACAUUUGGGUCCCAUGCAUGCGUUUCCCAACAUUUCAUUUCAAGUCUAAAUGAUUUUAAUGUGUGCCCAGAAGUCGAAUCAUUCAAUUGCUUGUCGCUCCUCAUAUACUGUAAUCAACUGGGAAGAUUUAAUUCUUUUUUCUUUAGCAUAUUAAAGAGGUUUAAUCCGAGUUAUUUGAGAGAAAAAAAAGUAACUUCAUCAAGGGUCACACAGUUACAAUUCAAUAGUUCAGAUUCGAGAUUUUUGUUUUAAUUUCUUAGAAUCAAAAAAUGAAAUUUAAGAAUGAAAUUAAGGAGUUCUUUUUUUUAGUGCUACUGCUUUUAUUAUUAUUUUGAGUUUCAUAUAUUAGUGGGGAAUCUCAUGUCUAUAAAGUUUAAUUAUGAUAGUAUAAAUCAGGGCAAUGAUAGAGAUUUGCUUCUCCGUGAAGGUUGAGAAGAUGAUGAGGCCAAUGAUUUAUAUUUAGGGAUGGCAAUGAAUAUUUGGGACGUUUGAAAAUAUGAUAAUAAUUAUUUUUAAAAUAUUUUUAGAUCAAAAAUAUUGUUUUAGAAAUAUUUUUAGAUCAAAAAUAUUUUUAAAUCAAUUUUUUAAAAAAUACUAUUUUAAAUACAAUUUCAAACAGCUCCUAAAUCUCAGGAUCAUUGGUCAGGUUUUAAGUUUAUUUUAUAGAAACUACCGGUUCGAGUUUCACAAAUCUCAGGACCACUGGAGACUUAUAUAUUUAUUAACUCUAGGACUCGUAGGAUUAGUCGAGGUACAUAUAAAUUAGUCCGAACAUCCACAUUAAUUAAAAAAAAUUAAACACAUAUGAUGUACAGAGCUACAUAAUAAUUUUCUUCAAGUGCAAUCCUCUUUUUAUUUGUUUUAAAUGUUAUUUGAGACUGCAAAACCUAUUUUAUACCACUAAUUUAUCAAUAAAUCUUUUAUCUUUAUCAAGAUAAAAUAAAAUAUUUUAAUUAAUAAUCAUUAAUACUCUUUUUACUUAUUAUCACAUGAUCACAGUUAUAAAAAGUAAAGGUAAACAGUAUUUGUUAUGUUACUGUAACUCUUUCUCUCUCCCUAUCAUUCAUGAUUCAUCCAUUGAAAUCAUGUUUCAAAUCACGUUUUAUAAAAGUUUAAAUAUUUUUAUUGUUAAUUAUUAUUUUAAUACAUUGAAAAACACUUUUUAAAAAAAUCACUCUCGCAAACGCAGACGCCCACCUGAUUCUCUAAGAUCUUGGUUUGCUGGAUGUGGUCCUGUGGAAUAUGAACACAAGGAUUGCCCUAGUAGCUAGCUAGCCAGAACCUCUGAAACCUAUAAAACCUAUGAACAAUUAAUAAUUUGAGACAAUAACUUCACAGUCAAUCUGGUCAAACAAGAAAACAAACUUAGGAUAGCAACUACUCAUUUUUCUCUCCCAUUACGUCAAGUUACAGUGACUCGGUUAAAUUUAAUUUACUUUUUGUUACUGAGUUAUGUGAAUAAAAACUCUUAAUUUACUGUUUUGAAACAAAAAGUUGAAGCGGUCAACAAUUUAUGUACUAAAUCAGCAUUUUUUAUUAUUUUGUAGUGAUGUUCGUGUUUAUUUAAAAAAACAACAACUUCAAAACUUAUGUAGCUAUGCAUUUGGAGGGAGUUAAUUUACCUUAAUAAUGGAUUCGAUGGUGCCCGAAUACCAUAUUUUGUUGUUAAGCAUAUGAUUUAAAUUCAAAACUGACAAGCCAAAAGACCAAAGCUCUUGGAAACAAGAACAAGAACAAGAACAAGAACGCACAACAAAGAAAGUUAUCUGGCCACACUGGAUAGCAAAAAAGUUUUCCGAUCAAAUUGAACAAUAGGGUUUGCAUCAAACCCGAAAUACAAAUUUUUCGGUCAAGUUUUGUGGGUUUCAACCAAAAAACAGAUUGGACAACAAGUUGUUCAGUCAAAUUUGGUGAAUCUUAACCCAAACACCAGACCAAAUAGUGAGUUGUCCAGUGAAGUUUAGAAGGUUUAGACCCAACACAACCCUUCGCAUGCACAUGAUCAUAUGUCGCUCAAACUCUUUACUUUUUAGCAUGUACAUGCUCUCACAUGCAUUUAAUUAUUCAAGAGCACACAUCUUGUUAGUACGAUAUUGUAACCUCCCAAGACAUGGCAACACACACCUUCUUCUCUCUUGUAAAGCUAUAAUUUUGGAGCUUACAAACAUAUAGAUUGUCAAUGUGACGUCUACUUGCCUAACCAAUAACUAUCGACCAAUAAUUAUUACGAUGCCUAAUCUAUCUUAUGUGGAAUUUACAUUUGACUACUCAUCGUAUAGGUUUCUCGUGUGGUAAAAAUAAUUAUUCUUCACCGUUACUUUUAUUUGAUAUGUUUGCAACUUUACACUCCGCAAGGUAAUUUCAUGUUAUCGAGAUAUAUAAAUAUCUCAAGUUACCAUGUAAUGAUAGACAACAAGCCCACAUAAUAAUACCACACAUAAUAAUCACAACAUCCAUUGACUAUGCUCUUCGAUCUCAUUCCUUUUAUUCUACUUAUAUUAAGGAUCUCCUAUUCUAUCCUAAUAAAGAACUUGUUUUGCAGGAGUUUGGGAACCAACCCAGCCCAAGUUAAAACAAAAAUAUAUUCAUAACUCAUUAUACCAGUCGUGAAAAGGCUCGUGUUCAAUUUGAGGUUUUUUUCAACUUCAUCAAAAACAUUGUACGUGGGAAGUUGAACAAAAUCUAGUUCACUCCCGUUUUACACACCACUAAAAGUUGUUUUCGUGGUUGACUUAAAAGUGUCAAGGCACGGGAGAGUAAUUGACCUUUCUUCCUAUCACAGGUACAUCAACUAUUAUAUAUCUCAAACAAAUUGUUCAUCAAAUAAGAAUGCUCAGUGAAACUAUUUUAACUAUAUAAGAACAACUUUGAACUUUGUCAUUUCCUCAAUAUGUGACAUAAUAAUUGGCUUUCACUAUGUGUACCGCCAAGUGCACUACUGAGUGCAUAUAAACAACUGCAGUUUCAUGAAGGAACGAGACAAAAUGAUGUGCAUGAAAUUAAGCAUGAGAAUGAUGUAUUGGUGUAUAUGCCCUGUAACUAAUUGAUCGGUUUUUUGUAAUAUUGACUUUGUUAAUGUAAAAACAUAUUUAUUAUUCAUUAAAGACUUGUUUAUCUUUAAUAUUCAUUUAUGUGUGAUUAAUGAGUUUAGAGUAAAGAAAAAGUAUUAUGAUAAAAAUAUUUUGAAAAAAAAAUUACAAAGUAGUUAUAAUUAUAAAAUUUACAUUACAUCAUGAUUAAUACUUUAUUAAAAUCGAGCAUUAGUAUUCUAGAUUCUUUUAUUACGUAACUACAAAUUAAUUUAGAUAUUUGGUAUUCAAUUUUAGUUUUUUAAGAUAUUAAAAAGAAAUUGCUGGAUUUGGAUUUUUUUAUGAUUUUUCAAUUUAUUUAAUUUAUCAGGCAUUUUCUCACAUAUUUUUUAAACAAAAAAAGGCAAAAUCAAACGUCAAAGAAGCCCUUAGAAAUAUCUCUUUUCACCGUCUUGAUUUCUUGAAAAGCACACUAGUUCUCACUCAAAUUGUGAGAAAAACGGGUAGGAACACAUUCAAGCGAUCCUCUGACGGACCGUUGCAUUUGCAACAGUUCCCAUUCUCUUCACUUGGUUUUGUACUUUCAAAGACACAGAACAGGACACUGCUUCUCUCUCUGUCUUCUGUCACGUGACAUCUCAAUUAUAAAGAGAGGGGGUAAAGAAAGUGACUAUUUUCACCAAGAACCCAAGACAAAGACACUUAUUUCUUUGGUCCUCUCACUCUUGUAAUAAUAUCUAUCAAUCGAUCUUUAGGAGAUUCAGGCCGCUCUCUCCGUGUUAGAUACUUGUCUGUUUAGAGAGACGGAGAGAGAAAAGAGAGUGUUUUUUUUUUGUUUGUGUUAAUUUGUGUGUGCCCGUCGUUGCAAUAUAGGUAAGAAAGAAAUGCAACAGCACCUGAUGCAGAUGCAGCCCAUGAUGGCAGCCUAUUACCCCAGCAACGUCACUACUGAUCAUAUUCAACAGGUUCUCUCUUCCCUUCUCUUCUCUGCUUCACGCCUUCUCCUUCUCUUUUUAUCUGCCCUUUCUUCCCUGUUUCCAGUAAGUACUUCAGCUUUUGUUUGCUUGCUUAUUUUUCUUUUUUUCGAGUGUUUUGUGUGCCUCUAAAGUCCAAGUAAUGUUAGUGGCUAUAUAUAUACGCUGUUGUUUUCACCAUCUAUUUGCUACCUUUUCCUUCAAGUUUUCUUGUUGGUUUCUGUUUCCUUAUCAUUGACAAUUUCUUUUUCACACUUUUCUUGUGAAUUUUGAUGUGUAUUGGUUUACAAGUUUGUUCUUUAUGUAUGUUCAUCUCUUUUUGUAAGUGGGUUUUUAUUCUUUUGAUGUUUCUUUAUGUCUUGUACAUGCUUUACUCAUCACUUGGGGUUCAUGUCCAGUUCAUAUUUUUCUGCUUUUUUGGCAGCAGUAACUUUUUCUCUUUGAUAUUUCCCAGCAACAAAAGCUUGAAUCUUUAGAUUAUUUGGUAUAUUUUUCUUUUGGAGCCAGAGGUCAGCAGGUUAUAUAGGGCAUGUAUAGCAUCAUGCUAUUGAUUUUUUUUUGCUGUUUCUUGGUUGUUCUUUAAUUAGUGUUUACUUAUUGUUUAUUCCAUAUUUGAUCAUAUAAUAUUGAUGGAUCUCAUUGUUAUUUUAAAAUCUAAUGUCCUUCCUUCUUUUGUUCUUAACUGGAUAGCCUAAAAAUGACUGGUGCCCUUACCAGCUACCAUAUGUUAAAGAGUUGGUAUACAUACAGAGGUUUUAAACCGUGCAAGUAACUGCUAGCAUGGCAGAGCAGAAAACAAAAAAUUAACAUAUUGGCCACUUGAUUUUACAGAUGGAUGUGAGGACUCAAUUUCUGCUGUGCAAAACCCAAGAAAACUAAGUAAUAACACAAAAUCAAAGGGAUAUGAAAUACAACAUGGUUUGGCAAAUCCUACUUCACAAAAACAUCUCACCAUCUAAAAUUCGUUUAAAUCCAAGGAAUUUUCAUUACACAACUGUUAGCCCUCACAAACUACAAUUGUGAAAAACUAUACGAUAAGGCAACCCUUUCACAAAACCCACCACUGCC